RNAcentral lists this long non-coding RNA (70566 nucleotides) under Lactuca sativa (garden lettuce). RNAcentral's name for it is "long non-coding RNA (LSAT_LNC000191)". Lineage: Eukaryota; Viridiplantae; Streptophyta; Magnoliopsida; Asterales; Asteraceae. The record is from RNAcentral.
GUAAUCCAAGGUAUUGUUCUAGAUCCUAAUUCAUAUGAUUAGAUUCAAUUGUUUACAUUAGAUCUAGUAUUGUAAGUCUUGGAUACAAUGCAUGUUCAAUUAGAGAAACCUAGAUCCAAGCAAUUAGGGUUUGCAUGUGCACAUAGGAAAGUUCUUAUGGCUCAAACCCAUCAGUUGUAUCAGAGCUUUGAUUGAUUUCUAUUGAAUUGAUGCAUUGGUUGAUUGCUUGUUGCUUNNNNNNNNNNNNNNNNNNNNNNNNNNNNNNNNNNNNNNNNNNNNNNNNNNNNNNNNNNNNNNNNNNNNNNNNNNNNNNNNNNNNNNNNNNNNNNNNNNNNNNNNNNNNNNNNNNNNNNNNNNNNNNNNNNNNNNNNNNNNNNNNNNNNNNNNNNNNNNNNNNNNNNNNNNNNNNNNNNNNNNNNNNNNNNNNNNNNNNNNNNNNNNNNNNNNNNNNNAUAUCGCUUUUAUCCCGAAGGUAAAAGGAAUGGAUAAACUUCGACUCAUAUGGCUUGUUCUACUACUUGUUGAAUCAUACACAAAUGCACGUUUUAUAACAUCGAGUUACCAACGUGUUUUCUUGCAAUCAAUGUAUAACCAAGUCAUAGUAACAACUCAUAUCUCAAGGUUUGAAGAAUAUAAGAUAUUACCGUCUCAUGAUUACUUGUGAUAAAAUCCAUGAAGUGAUUCCAAUGAGCGCGGUUUGAAUCCAAUACUCAGAACUUAUGAGCACUCAUGAGUGUUGUAGCACAACUUUGUCCACCAACUUUGUCACACCCCGGCCGUCGGCGGAAACACCGGGCAGUGUAAUGUCAUUUCUCGUAUCAUAGUUAUCAACUUCCUGAAAACACAUGCAAUUUAAAAUACGUCAACAUAAAUUUGGUGAGUUCACAGGUUUUGACUCCAUAUAAAAAUAAUACAUUUUUCCAAGUUCAAAAGUAUAGUUUUGAAAGUAUUAUUUUGAGUUUCCAACGUUUAGUAUAUAUAUCCUAGGUAUAAUGGUUUACUUACCAAAUAAGUAUAUACCUAUAAGUCUCAUAUAUUAUAAAUAUAAAUGUUUGUAAUUCCAUAAAAACUAAGUUGCUACGUAUAAAUCUUAUUUCAAUUCUAUACGAGUAAGUAGGAUAGGUAUAGUGGUCUACUUAAUAUACAAGUGAUAUACCUACUAGAUUCUUAUACUUAGAGUAUAAGUCUUUAGGAAACUUAUACUUAACAUUCAUACUUGUAUAUCGACAAAGUAUAAUGCUUCUAAAGUUGUUCUACCAUGAGUCUGUAGCCGCGACUGUAUGACUUAGUUUUAUACCUCUUAUUAUUAUUAUUACAAGGAUCACACAUUGCUGUAGUGCAAGGAUUACACCUUGUGGUAGUACAAGGAUCACACCUUGCGGUAGUACAAGGAUCACACCUUGCGGUAGUACAAGGAUUACACCUUGAGGUAGUACAAGGGUCACACCUUGCGGUAGUACAAGGAUCACACCUUGCGGUAGUACAAGGAUCACACCUUGCGGUAGUACAAGGAUUAUACAUUGCGGUAGUUUCCGCACGUUUCAUCAACGCCAGAACAAUAACAAAUAAAAGGAUAGUUCAUCACUCACUUUUGGUUGACUGUAGCUAACAGUCACGAGUGGGGUGGUCAACCCGUAUACUAUUUAUACACGACUUCCUCGCUCACACGGGAUUAACGAAUACAGGUCAGAGGACUUUCACUAAGAUCCCCAAUCUUAGAUGAUGAAUACAAUAGCUCAGGUAGACUUUGACGACGUUCUAUGGUUCUAACAACAAAAGCAUUUUCGUGUCUAAAACCCUAAGUUACUAGACUAUGAUUUUAAACAUUACUCCUAAUUUCAUAACAUUUAGGCAGUAUAACAACUAUAACUUGAAGUAAAACUAGGUUUUAUCUUGACAUAAAACCAACAAUAAUAACAUAUAACACACCAGGUUUUAUCUUGACAUAAAACCAACAAUAAUAAUAUACUUAGAAACUAAUAUAUAUAUAACUCUCGAGUAUAGCAUCGAGGCUAUAUCACACAUACUAUACAUAGAACUCCCGAGUAUAACUCAAGGUCUACAUUAGUAUAAUAACAUGCUAACAAGUUUACGAUAGUUGUAUAAUUUCAUAUACGAAAUAAGACUUAUCCCGAUUAUUAUAACUAUCUACGUUGAUACUAAUAUACUAUCAUAUAGACAUAAUAAUAACGUAUAUAUAAUAUUUAGCAUGCGUUUUCCCCCGAAAUAUUAGAAAGUGGGACCGUGAAACUCACCUUAGUAACGUGAUUUUAUGUAAUCUAGGUAGAAACGGUCAGCGUGUGAGAUUGUCGGGGCUCGGGAUGCAAGAGGGCUUCAGCAAAUGAGAGAGGAGAAAGGAAAUGUUGUAAGGAAGUGAAUGGGUCGAUCUUGUUAUUUAUAGUAAGUUUUUAUGACACUCACGUCGUGAGUGUCAUAAGACUCACAUCGUGAGUCUCAUGAUUCACUCCGUAGACUUGCCAUUUGCGUCCCUAGCUUCGGAUGGUGGCCAUGACACCUCACGUCGUGAGUGUCAUAAAGCUCACGUCGUGAAUUGGAUCUUAUCCUCUCGCAGCUUCUAGAUUCCGAAUUAUGACAGAAUGUCGUGAGCGUCAUAAAACUCACGUCGUGAAUUAGCUAGUUUAGGGUUUUUAAAAGCUAAAUCUUCGGAAUGCCAUAACUUUUGCAUACGAACUCCGUUUUUGACAUUAUUUAUAUGCAUGCGUAGGUAUUUACGAGUAAUACAACUCCCUUUUAGACUUAAAUAGCUAAUUCUAAGUCUAUUUUAAAUUCCUCUUAUUAUAGAGAUUUAUAGUGUUCGGUUUAUCAUAACUUCUUAAUGCGAAGUCGAUUUAGACGUUCUCUAUAUUUUUGGAAUCGUAUGGACAUAUACUUUGAUUUAUAUCAUAAAGGAAGUUAAUAUUUGUAUUAGAAUUUAUCAUGAACUACAUAACAUUCUUACCACAUUACUAGGUUAAUAUAAUCACAUUACAUGAUUUGCAUAAUCACAUGUGAUUAUCUAUAGACCUAUUUUGACUAGUGUUACAAACUUGGACCUCUACAAGACAACCCAUGACAGUAUUGAUUCAUAUAUACUUCCAACAUAUGACCGAAUGUUGAUGGUUUGAAUAACUUAGUCAAUCAGGAAGAACGACCUAGUUAUUCUGGAAGUCAAAACAUGCAAAAUGAAACACAAGAAUAAUUGAAUCCAAUAUGGUCUCAGAACUUAUGAAUAUAAAUAAAACACAUUUUAUUUAUCACCAUAUGAUCACACAUUAUUCAUUGUAUACUAUUUCAGCUAUCAACUUUAUUCUUGAAUUAAAACAAUUGCUGCCCCAUGCUCCAAGCAUGUACACUAUGUUUUCUAAACACUAGUCAUGCCACACACCAAGUAUGCAUACUAUGUUUGUCUAUGAUCUUUACUUUGUGAAAUAGAUAAAUUGAAUAUAACUCCAAUGAUCCUAUUUUCACAUUCCUAAAUCCUUACUGCAAAUGCAAGAAUUCCAAAUUCAUGCCAUUUACCGAAAUUUGUUAGAUUCUAAACUUAUAUGCAUUGAUCCUCUUGUAAUGAUUAUGCACAAAGUCAUAAAGACUUGACAACAAACAUUACAAAACAUUCCAAAGGAGAUCAACUCCUUGGAAACAGCCUUCUUGCAUUAAGUUUCCUAAUCUUACACAGAUUGAAUAAUUUCUAACUUUGAAACAUUUCCAUAUUCCAUUUUGACUACCACUUCUGAACACGAGUUUCCUUUUUUCAGAAUAAUUCAAUAUGGUCCUUCCACCAAUUAACACUAUACUUCCAACUGUCCUUGAGAAACCAAUCUUUGGUAAACCUUAGACUGUCCUCGACGAUUGCUUAAUCCUUUUAGUCACAUCUAAUUCUAGACCUUUUCCCUUCUUAAUGCCCCAGGCAUUUGGAAAAUUUUAGAAAGGAUGAAUAUAGCACAUGUAAUCGAUCCUAUAUCCGAAGCAUAUGGGACACGAUUCAUGAUGUCUCACAUAAAGACUAAACCAGUCUUUUGCUAUAAUAUUUCCAUUUCAAUUUGCCAAGUUCUCAUAAUUCAGAUUAUGAAAAGGGAUGUCGUAAUCAUAAUCGAAUUUUAGAACGCAAAUAAUGGACCCAUAUACAGAAUUUCCUUAUGUUGAGCCAUUCCAACAUGAAAUUCAUAUAUAUCCUUGACUAAAUGAUUAAAACCUCACGAUCUAAGCUUAUAGAUUUGAGAUGAAGUAUAAUUUCCUCUCCCUUAAUUAUAGCAAAACAACUUUUUCCCAAUUGAAACUUUUGUUUUCUAUAAUUAACAUUGCUAACUUGCAAUACUUAUCAUAAUUAUCAUGCUCCCACUAACAUGAUGAUUAUUAGCAUAACACUUAUGCUCCCACUAGCUUUGACAUGUACUCAGAAAUCAGUUGGACUUCUAGAAAUCAAUACUUUAUUGACUUUCUUACCAAAGUUCAGAUUUCUGAUACUAGAUUGCUUUGAUAAAACUUUAUCAAUAUCAUACACCUUAUCUUAGAUAGCUCACAUGUGUGUUUAAACAAUUUUAAGAACUAUGAAAAGGGAUGUCAUAAUCAUAGUCUUGAUUGUUUAUACCUUUUCCACUUCUCACUAGUCCAUGUUAGUGUGUCGGUUAACCACACAUGCUCCACUAACAACUUUGAGAAUGCAAAUAUUACAAUUGCUAUCUAGCUAAAAUCUACUUAGUGAAAAUGUUUCCUCACCAUCAUUUUCAUGAAUCGGAGAGAAACCUUAUGACACUUAGAUUUAAUGGUGUAUGUGUUCUUAUCCAUGUGAAUUGUCAAAACCAUAAUCACAAGACAUGGUUAGUGACAAAUCCAAACUCUUAUGGAUUGAACUUGUGUCAUCUUAACUUCUUGCCAUUUGGCAGCUCAAGGGCCUGACAUUGCUUCCAAGUUGUUGUACAACCAAUUGAGAACUCUAAGAACUCAUAUGCAAAUCCAACUUUAAUUAGAAUAGGCAACGAAUAUGUCAACACGAUAGGUUAUAAACCUCAAGUCGUGUGCUAGUGAAGAGACUUCAGGUUUUUAUUCUUGAUUAGUUCUUGAGACUUUCGAGACCUUUAAGACUCCCACUGUCCUCUUGACAUAUAAGACUCUCUUUUCAAAUAUUCAAAAUAUAGUGCGGAUUCUUUAUCAAGAUAAACACUUCACACAAUUGGCCUUAGUUGGUCUUUGUUUUAUCCAAAACAUCACAACUUACCAAUUUCAAAUGUACAAGAGUAGAAAACUUUUACUCUUACAUUUGACAAGUGUUUUAAACCUUCUUUAAGACAUGUCACUCAACUUACAGUAUUGGAGUAUGACUCUAAGACUUGUUUUGGAACCAAGUAUGACUCAUCUUCUUGAUUUGACCACUUCAACAAUUCAUAGCUCCUCUUCUUAUCUAUCAGAAUGCACUUAGAGGAUGAAUUGUGAUAAGGUAUCUUCAUCAUUAAGAUGAUCAUAUAACAUAAUACUAAAGUACUCUCCUAUCUUUUCAGAUUUAAGAAACUUUUAUCUUUCUACCUAAGUUGAUUCUUCUUAUUCGCUCUGCCAUACAUUGUAAUUUUUCUAAUGUAUCAGAAUUACACUUAAACCUGUAAGUAUAACCAUAUUUACUAAACUUUAGUAAAUCAUGAUGAAUAGCCUUAUCGAUAUUUUGUGGUGGACUUAACCAGUGCACAAGAAUGUGUACUCGAUCCCUUAGUCCUUUACUUGACUCACACAUCCAUGUGAACAAGUAAUUAGUCUUAAUUUUCCAAUGCUUGAAAGUUCUCAUUCAUCAUGCUAUACAACUGGCAUGAUUCCAAGUUUCUAUCCAACUGAAACUUGGGUGAUGAGAAUCUUUUCUUAUUUGGUAAAUUUAGACACUACCACAAAUGAAAGAAUCAAAUUCAUAUUUCCACUCUUGCUCUUAAUGGAAUCUUAUAAGCAACAAAAAUUUUCACAAGUGCCAUUGUAAGGAUAUUUUAAAAUAAAUAAAAUCAAAAUUUUUUCAUUUUAUUUUAAAAAUUGUGGAAAAACUAUCCUUACAGUGCAAAAGCACAUGAAAACUUUGUUGUUAUCUAUUCCUAAGCAAUAUAUCAUAACUCCUAAGAAGUAGCUCAAGAAUCCGAUCUUCAAACUAUGAGAUAGAAAUCCAUCUACGCGAUCAGAUUCAACAUAUUCUUUUUUUAAGUUUCUUUACUUUUUCUUUGAUUCUUAAAACAUCAACAUGUGACCCAGUCACAUAAUGUAUCAAGAAUCUCAUAGUAGAAACUUAGCAGAGUUAGAUAGUGGACUUUACCUGAAGUAGAGUCAAACUUAUUGACUUUAACAUCCUUAGGUAAAAUUGACAGCUUCGCAACUAAUGCCCCUUCCUUUGGCAAUGGACCCUUGAUAAUGGGACUAUCUUAGACUUAGCCUCUCUCUUUACCAUUUGGUCAACCAAGUUGACUAUGGAUGAUCCCUUUCCAUUGGGAAGAGAGAGCUUUACUGGAUAUCCAAUGUCACAUUGUCAAUGUCCAUUGAAAGUUUGGGAAGUUGAUCUUCCAAUCACAUUUGCUUUACCAGUGUUCCAAAUCAUUACUGAUUUAGCAAUACCAAGCAAAUAGAUAAGAUCAUUAAGAGUCUUGUCAUAGUCUGUUUCAUAGGAGUCCCAAAGGAACUCACUAUGUGACUUAGAAAGUGAUUGAGCCACCAACUUUCUCAAGACUUUGACACCUAACUCUCUCGGCUUGUCAAUAUGUGACUUCAUCUCCAACAUGUGAUCACACUUAGACCUUGCCUUUCCAAUAGGGCUUGAGUGACCUUAAACUUUUCUAGAACUUGUGGGUUAGGGAGAAUAAUUGGAGGAGGUGAAAUAAGUAUGAUUUCCAUGGGACAUCGUCUUCAUUUAGGAAAAUUUGUUUCAAGAGAUUUGGGAAGAUCACAGAUGUCUAAACCAUACAUCUUUUGGGAGAUAUUCAAGAUAGUUGAUUUAAAGUCCUUAAUAUAACACCCAAUAUGAAAUAUUAAGGCUAGGACCCAACACAAUACUUUUAUAAAUUGGAAGAGGGAUGUCGUAAUCCAAGCUAUAAAAUAUUUGAAGGUAGGUGAAUCACGAUUCACCAAUUUCCACCAAGAUAAACAACAUGUAUUAUUAGGUUUUAAUUGGUUUUUCAAACUCCUAGAUUCUUUUGAGAUUCAUUGAACUGUUCAAUAACAUGUUUCAAUCUCGAAUGUGCCCUUCAGGUUUUGUGACUGAGAUGCCGAGGAUCACAAAACAAGGUGUGAAUAACCACGCAAAUAUACUUGGUACCCUUAAGUGUUUACCCCUCAAGCGAUGUGCCGGUUAACCACACACGCUCCAUCGAUACUAUGAUAAAUAUUAAGUCACCCUUUACCUACCUUGUUAAAUACAAGUUAGUGUGCCGGUUAACCACACACGCUCCACUAACGACUUAGACAAAGUGUAAAGUGUAAUUUCAUGGAUUAGCACCUUAUUCACAUUUUCCCUAAGUAACUAAGAUUGGGUAUUAUUAAGAGUUUAGUUACUUAGUAUUUUCAUUAAUACUUUUAAUGAAGGGAGAAUUCUAGUCCUGUCAAACCCGUUCGGCUAACGACCCUCCACCAGUCAAGCAAGCGGUGGGUGAGAGUGGACACCCAUUAAGUUGCCAUUUUAUAGGCAACAGCCUUAUACCCACCUUAUAGUCCGGCUUCGUGAAUGAGGCGUACUAGCGGUAAGACUGACUUUACUCUUAUACAUAUAUAUAUUAUUAACUUAUAAUAUUAUAAAGCAUAAGGGUUUAAUUUAAACUUUUAAAAUUCUAAGGGCUAACCUGGAAUUAAAGUAUUCAUAAGAGAAAACUUUUCAAAUUACAAAACUUGAGAGCAAGUUUUGAAAAUAUUCAAAACUAAUUAAUUCCAUAACUUAUGUGAUUAAAUUAGUUUUAAUUAAAAAACUCUUCAAGUUCCAUAACUUGAGGACAAAUUAUGGAAGACUUUAAACUAAUAAAAGAAUGUAACUUUUCUUUAUUUUGUCACUUGUUGGUUUCCAUGUUCGUUCCUUUGGCUGAAGUUGCCAAUGUUGUUCCCACCUCCAUUAGGGUUGUUUGCAUUGAUUUGUGUCAUCGCAGCGGUUACUGCUACCGUUACAGCAGCUUGGAAAGUAGCAGAGUCCAUCUGCAGGAGUGGUGCCUCGCGGGUGCGCUUGUUAUUCUUGCGGGGCAGCAUUUUCCUGAUGCAUGUUGAUAAGCUACAUCGUAAUUAUAGUCAUUCCUGGUUGUACUCUAGAAAUUUUGCAUCUUGUUAUAUAAUUCUUACUGCUCCCAUAUACAUCCCUAUGAUGUAUUUAUAGUAGUAGGUAAUCACAUAUUUGGCACGAUCGUUACGUCUACCCCAGAGGAUAUGGAUUGUUUCGGUUUCGAGAUCCUUAAGUACCAUCUUAGUACACGAAAGAGAGUCAUAUCGGAUAGUGAGGGGGAAAAGAAAAGGUUGAUCCUAAUUGUGGCGGUAAGUGUCUGGUGGUGGUGCUGAUGAAGUGGGUGCACUUCGAAGAUGAGCUACUUGUUAUCCGGUAUCUCAUAGUUGUACUUCCCAAACUAAUUGUCUCGCUCGAGAGUCUCCAUUCACUUCCUAUGUCUGCCCCUCAUCUUUCUCAAUAGCAAACCACAUUUGUUCCGUUCGAUUAGUGGUGUCCUGAGCUUGGUUAUCAAUACCUCGGGUGCGUCGGACCAUGACUGGGAGGGCCCGGUCAGCUGGUCCUCUAUGGCUAAUGGUCGGAGAGACCUCGGUUCCUACCCUAGUGUGGUCGUAUCCCCUGCUGGUGACUCUAUCUCCAAAUAUCAUGUGCCUAAGGGGGGCAUGGGGCCACCAGGGCCCACACGAUAUGUCGAUACUCUGACUUUACAUGGAGGAUUGAUGUCAUUGGAUUCUACAUCUGAGUCAUCAUCAUCAUUGCCCUCUGGCUCUUCCUCUUCAAGGUUCACUUAUUGACUUGGCGGGUUCACCUGCGAGUUCUACUUCGUGUUCCUCCUGUGGUUCUUCCUCUGGGUCGAGCCACCCUACUAUUCUUUGACUAGGGAGAUAAGGUUUCCUGACUAAUGAUACUCGUCUAUAGCGUAUUGCACGAAGGGCUAUGAAUACUAGAAACAAAUAGCAUACCAAUUACUCCUAUAACUCUACGACUAUUGCAUAGAUUUAGUUGAGGUUCCCUUCUUGGAGAUUAAGAGGUAUGUUUUUAGAUUCCCUAGCUAUCACGAUUUAUUCAAGACAUGUGAUGGUCGUACUUUGGAGGGAAUGUAGUUGAUCAGGCUACAUCCACUCCUUGAUACAACUAAAAACAGUCUUGGAUCAACCGAGAUACUAGCAUUAUCUUGUUCGAUUCGGUGUUAGGUUCUCGUUCCUAAUACAAGCAAGGGUGUUUUAUUGUUAUGUUUACUUAUUUUGUUCAGAGUCUGGUUAGUCCCUCUUCUGGUUUAUAGUUGCAUAUCAAUGUGUGGUUAGAUAUGCCAGUUCACUAUAAACAGAGCUCUGAUACCAACCUGUCACACCCCCGAACCAGACGGCGGAAACGUCCGAGGGCUGUUGUGACUCAAUUGAAUACCAUCACAGUGAAUAUACAUGAAACAUAACAUCAUUCAUCACCAUGCAUUGAAAUAUUACAACCGGUAGUGUUUACAUUUAGUACAUUGUUUCAAAACAUUACAUUCCCAAAAAGUAAAUUGUUCGAUACUAGUUAAACAAACAACAAGACAUCACUGAGUACAUUUUUCCUUCGAUUUACUUGUUACCUGAGAAUACAAGUAUUUUGAAAAACGUCAACAUAUAAAAUGUUGGUGAGUUCAUAAGUAAUGUUUGAAACACAGUGUUGGUAUUAUUUUGAAAAACCACUAGAAAAUCCGAUAUUUUCUGAAAAGAUUGUUGCAAGUAAGAAAAAGUGUGAAGAUCCGUAAGUAUGCUUGUUUAUUUCUACAAGCGUGAAAAAUUGUUUGACUUGGUAUGCAUCACGUAGGUGUAAGUGUUGAAAUCUCUAGGAAAACCCGAUGUUUUCCUAAUACUUUAAAUUACGCGUUUUAUUUAUUGUUAUACCGUUGCGACAUGUGUAUUCGAUAAUUCCAGGNGUACUAUUCACUUAAUCCAACCACCCUAACUUCUCAUAGCCCCACAACCGAGGAGAAAAGAGGGUGCGAAGCCCCCGCUAUUUCCAUAAGUCGUUCAAGGCUAUCGUGAAUGCGAAAGGCCCUUGGCCCGACUCGCAUUGGUGAAUUCUCGACUUUGCUAGCAGUACCAAAAGACCCUUGGGGCCCAACAGCACAAAAGCCAGUGAAAGUCCUUUUACAUGGAAUUAGGUCAUAUAAGACCCAACAACAUGUAAGCGAGUUUCCUUCGGGCCUAAAGAUCAUGUCAUUGGGCUAGCUAGGCCCAACAAGCACGAUUUGAAACUUUCGGGCCCAAAGAUGGUGUAUCGACGUCUGGUGAAUUCCCGCGUGUGUAUUGACUUCCCGUAAUUUCAGCGUGUGUAUUGUAGUAUCGUCGUGUAUAGAUUUUUGAUUCAUUAUUGAUUCGAGACCGAAUCAAUUCGUUUGGUAACGAUUUUUGGUGUUGAAGGUGUAUUAUGUUUCAUCGGUAGUCGUGGUACUAGUAUUUCAUCAUAACGGAUUUGUUGUUUAAAACAUUAGAAUUUUUACUCUUUGCAGCCCCUUUCUUUUGGAUAAAUUUACACUUUUGACCCUUUGUAUAAAAGAAUUUCCAUUUUAGUCCUUAAACCAUUUUUCUUUACACUUUAGUAUCAAAACUUGUUGAAAAGGUAUUUUUCAGCUCAAAUUUAUUUGAAAAACAGCUUUAGUCCCUCAGAAUGAAGUUUUCUCGGCUGAAACCUCUAUUUUCGCAAUUUUUACACUUUUGGCCCAAAAUAGAAUUUUUUUGCAUCUUUGGUCCCUUUUAAAUAUGAAAAGUAUUUUUAACCCUUGAAAUGGACUUGGAGCACUAGUAGUCCCCUGUUUUACAGAAAAGUACCGUUUCAGUCCCUCUAAUUUGAAAAUCUCGCAAUUUGGGCUUUAUUGGGCCGAAAAAUUCAUUUUUGGCCCAUUAUGCUUAAAAAUUCACAUUUUAAUCCUUCAAAAGAGUAAAUUUCCAGAAAAUACAUUUUUGAAACUGUUUUGACUCAUUUCAACCAUCAGAAUUUGCAUUUUGUCAUUUUGGGCCCUUUGAAUUUAUAUUUUCAACAUUUUGAGCCCAAAAAUGGGUUUUAAGCCCAAAGAUGUUCAUAUUAACCAACUUGGUUAUUUUUCUAGGAAUGAUUUGUAUGAAAUAAUAUAAUUUGUAAUUGUUUCAUACAACUUAACGUAGAUCUCGGUUUUAAGGUCUUUUUGACUAGAUCCAACACCACAACCACAUAAGAAUAUAUAUACAAGCAUAAAAAUCACACAAAGCAUACAUAUACUCAUAGAUCUACACAUUUGCUUGUAUUCCCCCCCCCCCCACAAAACUUAGAAAAACCGAAAAAUAGGGGGUAUGAAGCUCACCUUGAGGUUUGGUUCGAUUUUGAUGAAGAUAUAUGAGAAGAUGAUGUUGUUUUUGGCUUAGCUUUCUUCCUUCAAAAUAUCUUGAUGAUGUGGAUGGUUCUAAGAACAUAAUCCACAAAUAUAUGGAUGUAAGAGGAGAUCUUUGAAGAGAUCAAGAAAUUAUAUCAUAGAUCUAAGUGGGAACUUACCAAAGUUGAUGAUCUUGAAUAAGAAUUUCUUGAAGUAUCCUCUAAUUCUCGAAAAUUUAGAGGAAAGUGUAGGAGUGUUCUUGUGAGAUUUCCUUAAGAGAUUUCUAAGUAAAAUAAGUGUGUUGGUGAUUUUUGGGCCCUAUGGCCGAGAUUAAGAAGAGAUAGGNAUUUUUGGGCCCUAUGGCCGAGAUUAAGAAGGAGAGAGGGGAAAAGAGAAGAGAGGUUUGAAGUGAUAGAAGUCUUGAUGCAUGAGAUUAGUUUUUGCAUGGAGGGUAUUUAGCAUGGGAACCCUACAUGUAAAAAUGAUGUGUCGCCAUGCAAUUUACCCUAUUUUUUUUAACCUUGGGCCGAAAAUGGCUCUAAUGGGAUGAAGAAAAAUGGUUUUGGGCUCAAUGUCUUGGCUUUGAUCGAACUUCAUAGCCCCAAUAUUAUUUUUCGGCCCAUUGUGCUUAAGGACGAUUCACGACCCCUUUUGAAUAAAAGAAAUGGAGUUUAUGGCCCAACAAGGCCUAUUAGAGAUAAAAAUGAAUUAUUUUAGGCCCACAUGGCCCAAAACAAUCUAGUUUCAUGACUGUGGGUCCAAGUAGAGCCCAAACAGUCGAUUUGAAAGUUUAUUGGUCCAUUAGGCCCAAUAAGAGAAUCCUAAUCCAUAAUGAAUUUGAGCCGAAAUUUCUAGGGUUUCCAACCCUUAGUUGAACAUAUGAGAUGUAUGUGAAUGAGAAUAGAUUAUAGUAAGUAUAGCCUUUUUCAAUGGAUGAUGUUUACAUGGGAAUCGAAUUUCCUAGCAAAUGCUAGUUGUGACACCUCAAAUGGUUCACACAACACCAAAUACACUUGGAAUAGAUUAGAGAGAAAUCCACACUUCAUGAAAAUUGGCUAGCCCUUUCACAUAUAUUCUAGUGCCGAUUUUGUCAACAAUAAGAUGCUUAUAUAGUUAGUGACAAUUAGGGUAAACCCUAAUUGUCAUGGCUUUCCAUUUCCUUGGAUCUAUGGAUUCAAAUACACCAUGGAGAAUCCAUGGAGCAUCUUAUGGGUUUUAGCCCAACUUGACAAUCCAUAAAGCAUUAGCCCAUUAUACAAGUAUGGAUAAUUUAUACAAUCAACCGAAAUAUUUAAUUAGUCUUCUUUUGAUCACUUAAUUAAUCCUAGAUUAAUUCUUGAUCAAUACUAAUUAAAUAAUCUUAUUAAUAUAUUAAAACUUCUAAUAUAUUAACAAACCUUAAGUGUUAUUUCUCUCAUUUUAGUCUAUCCAAAUGCAUGAUGUCAUGCAACCCAAAUGGACCAUGCUGGGUCGGGUCAAGUCUUACCAAUUAUAGUUAUUGACUUAGACAUUAAUCCAACAAUCCAGUCUGGGGGCAGUUUUGAUGCAACGUGGUUGUGUGAUUGCUUACGCUUUGAGGCAGCUGAAGCCUCAUGAUGCGAAUUAUUCGACACAUGAUUUGGAGCUGGGAGUCGUGGUAUCACACUCAAGAUUUAGCGGCAUUACCUCUAUGGGGUUCAUUGUACCAUCUACACGGACCACAAUAGCUUGAGGUAUCUAAUGGAUCAGCCGAAUCUGAACAUGAGGCAACAUCGUUGGUUAGAUGCGGUGAAAGAUUAUGAUUGUGAGAUCCUUUAUCACCCAGGGAAGUCCAAUGUGGUGGUCGAUGCUCUUAGUCACAAGGCAAUCGCGGCUCCAAUAAGAGAUAUAUGUUUGAGGAUGACCGUGAUUACUCAAUUAUUGGAGCGGAUUCAUGAGGCUCAUGCAGGGUAUAUGAAGGAAGAGCAUCGAAAGAGUGAACGCAUUGUAGGUUAGGUGGCUUCCUUCGAUUAUGGUAGCCAUGGAUUGCUGACUCUGCAUCGGCGAGUAUGGGUACCUUAUUGGGGUGGUUUGUGUCAGGUUCUUAUGAAGGAGGCAGGCACACGAGUCGAGGUUCUCCAUUCAUCCCGGGGCGACAAAGAUGUAUAGGGAUCUUCGUCCUAACUAUUGGUGGCCCUGCAUGAAGCGGUAUGUGGAAUGGUAUGUUGAGCGAUGCCUGACUUGCAGGAAAGUCAAUGUUGAGCAUCAGCGUCCUCACGGCAAGAUGCAGCCGUUGGAGCAUAUGGAAAUGGAAGACAUAACUGUGGACUUUAUUAUGAAGCUUCCCAGGACUGCGCGCAUAGUGGAUUCUAUCUGGGUCAUCGUGGAUCAUUUGACUAAGAUGACAUAUUUCAUUAUGAUCCAGGAGAGUAUUUAUAUAGAGAAGUUGGCCGAGAUUUAUGUCCGGGAGGUAGUGGCACGUCAUAGGGUGCCGAUAUCAAUGGUUUCAGACAUGGAUGUUCAUUUUACUUCCAGAUUUUGGAAGCGGUUUCAUGACAAGAUAGACACUCGUCUCCUUUUUAGUAUAACAUUUCAUUCAUAGACCAAUGGUCAAAGUGAGCGGACUAUUUAGACUCUUGAGGAUAUGUUGCAUGCGUGCGUGUUGGAUUUUGGUGGGAGUUAGGAUACGCAUCUUCCAUUAGCGGAGUUUUCGUAUAACAACAGUUAUCACGCCAGCAUCGAUCGACCUUCUUUUGAGAUGCUCUACGGGAGGAAAUGCAGUACCCCGAUUUGUUGGGGCGAGGUCGGUCAGCGAGUUAUGGGGAGUACCGAGGUGGUGCUCAAGACCACUAAGUUGAUUAAGCAGGUUCGAAGCAGGCUCCAGACAGCUGGGAGUCGGCAGAAGAGUUAUGUCGACAGGCAUCGAUCAGACUUAGAGUUAUAGAUGGGAUAUAUGGUUCUCCUGAAGGUGUCACCUUGGAGAGGUGUUAUCCCGUUCAGGAAGCGGGGCAAGCUGGGCCCCAAGUAUAUUGGUCCCUUAAGAGUUUUAGCUCGAGUGGGCCGAGUUGCGUAUUGUUUAGAUCUUUCAGCCGAGCUCAGUUUGAUUCAUAACACAUUUCAUGUCACUCAGUUGCAUAAGUGUUUAGUGGAUGACUUUGCAGUUGUACCUUUGGAGAAUAUUCAGGUGGAUGACCGUCUGAAUUAUAUUGAGAGACCGGUGGCAAUUUUAGAUCGAAAGAUGAAAACCUUGAGGAACAAGAUUAUGGAGUUUGUAAAGGUGCAGUAGUUGUACCACAAAGGGUCAGAGUGGACUUGGGAACCCGAGGAGGAGAUGAGGGAACAUUAUCCAGAGUUGUUCGAGACGGCGGACUUCAAGGAUGAAGUCUGAUUCAAGUGGGGGAGAAUUGUAAUGCUUGAUAAUUUCCAAGGUAUUUAUUUAAUUUGGAUUUAUUUAAUUGUUAUGAGUUGGGCCUUGAAUCAUUGGAUUUUUCUUAUUGGGCUUAGGGUGUUAAGUACGCAGGGUGUACCACCCUAUGUAUGCAAGGCGUACUGAUGUAGAAUGAUCGCGGGUGCCAUGCAUGUACACGCUGCGUACAAAGGAGUACGCACAACGUAUGUAUCUAGUCCCUAAAACCAUACUAUUUAGGGUUUUAGCACUAUUUAAAGAACAUUAUAACUUAAGGAUCUUCUUUAUCAGCCUCCAACUUGCCCCUAAAUAGCCUCCACAAAACCCUAGCCCAAUUGUUGAGUGAUAUUGAGCUUGGAAGGUCUUUUGAGUGCGUUUUGGUGUGUUUUGUCCCAUUUUCAAGGAAGAUAAGGUUGGAGCAAGGUGGUGGUUCAAGGAGAAUUUUAUAGAUCUGGAUUAUCUGCCGCAUUUCAAGCUUGUGCAAGGUAUAAAUCUUGAUCUUGAUCUUUAGAAGCUUAGAUCUCCAUGUUUUAGCUUUUGGACCCUUUUUGGUCCCAUAAAUAAGCUCUUGUGGAUUGUUUUCGUUUCUGAAGCUUAGAGUUGCUAGUCUUGGUGUUCUUUGGGUCCUAGAGGCAUAAAGUUGCCACCUUUGAAGCUUUAAUCCAACCAUGUUUGAGUAAUUGCCAUUUUUGUGGAAGUAGAAUGUUAUAUUUCAAGUUUGGGCUCAUUUGGGGCAUGCAAAGCCACCAAUUUGAUGACUUUAUGGGUUAAGACGUUGCAAAUGACUCAGAUUUGUGAUUGUAACUCUUGGACUUAAGUGGUUAAGAGAUUUUUGGAGAAAUGGCUUAUUGGGUGAGUAUGUUGGGCGUAUAAUUGGGGUGGAAAAUCGGACCAUCGUGUCGUGUUUUUGUCCGACACGACAUGACACGACAAAAUUUUAUGUAACACAAACACGACACGACACGAUCUCGUAUUUUUUUUAACUAACACGAAAACGAACCGGUUAAAAAACGACAAACAUGACACGACACGACAAAGAUAACAUGAAAUAACAAUUAAUGUAUUUAAUUAAUGUGUAUUUAUACAUAACACGACAAACACAAAAAACACGACAAAAAAUGUUAAAUCGUGUCAAUUUCAUGUCAAAUUUUGAACACGAACACAACACGACACGACUUCGUGUUUUUUACACUUGACACGAACACGAAUUCGAAUUUCAAUUUCGUCUCAAUUUCGUUUCGUGUCGUGUAUUUUUGUCGUGUCGUGUCAUCAAUCGUCACCCCUAGCGUACAGGCUCGUACAUGCAGCAUACAAGCCAUGCAGCGUGUAUGCUUGGUGUACAGCCGAGUACGCCUCGCGUACUCAGGCAGUUGGGCUUGGCGUUGUUUGGGCAUCGAGUUUGGCCAUUUUCUUGGACCUUGUUGCUUUGGGCCUUUUGGGCCAUCUGGAAUUAAUAUUUUGGAUUAAGGAAUUUUAGUGGGCCUUAGGCCAAGGGCCAUUUGGGGGUUUGAGCCCAAUUUGGAAAAUUGGGCCAUAAGUGGGCCUUUGUGGAUCUUUUGGUUUUGGGCCUUAUUGGUUUAUGGUUUUAGGCCUUAGUUUUGGAUCAAGCUAGGCCAGGGGUAAUAUGGUCAUUUUACCCCAAGUAUGGAUUAUUGAUUAUAGUUUGGAACCUAAGUGUUGAUUAGGUGGUAUUUUGUACUAAUAGCUCGGGGAGUCGUCAUGGUAGCAACUGGGGAUUUAUUUCUGUGAGAUUCAACAUUUGAGGUGAGUUUCCUCAAUGGGUUUAGCGGGUCUAAGGCACCAAUGCUGACCCUUAUUAAUUAUGUUAGGAUGCUAAGAGUUUGUGUGACCCUUGCAUGCGUUAUGUGUUGUUGUAUGUAUACCGGGCGAGGCUCGAUGCUAAGCAUGACAUGAGGAUUGGAACAUAUGCUAGUGUUAUGAUCAUUAUAUGUGUUAGCAUGAUUAUGUAAUAUUGAUUGUAUGUGUAUAAAGGGCGAGACCCAGUGACAUGCGAGGCAUGAGAAUAACAUAUUUGUAUACCGAGCGGGGCCCGAUGCCGGGCGGGGGCCCAAUGCAUGAUUUAUUAUGUAUGGUAUGGGGUAGUUUGGGGAACUCACUAAGCUUUGUGCUUACAGUUUUCAAAUUAUGUUUAGGGUACUUCCAGUGGCAAUGAGAAGAACUCGGGGUGACUGCAUUGCACAUACCAUAUGGAUUCUGUUUAUUGGGCACGCUCUAAUUUUUCCUGAUAUCUGACAUACUUAUUUUAUUUGGGUUGUAUGAACUAUGAUUGGAAAUACUGUUUUCACUUGAAUGAAAAAUGAAAAUUUUAGGUCGUAUUUUUGGGUUGUUACAUUGUUUGUUUUUUUGUCGGUCUUGAAUAUCAACGACUCUAUGUAAGUAAUCUGUUGUCCCUGGUUGAAGUUGAAUGUGUCCAGGUUCCGUAGGCGAAUAGUCUACAAUGUUUCGUCAUUUAUUUUCAAUCACCAUGUUAUGCAGAAUGAUACAUGCAUACAUAAUAUCUCGUAGAGUGUCCAACUCGUAUGGUCGUUCCGCAUGUUCAACUAUGUGACAUUUUGCUUUCAGAACUCUGAAAGUACGUUCCACGUCCUUACGUGCUCCUUAUUGUCUUCUCUUGAAAAAUUUGUUUAUCGGUUAUAUCUGGUGUCGAAACGCCAUCACAAACGUGGAAUAUGGUGGGUAUAUUCCAUCCGUGAGGUAAUACCCGAACUUAUACUCAUCGUCAUUUACUGUGAAAGGAGCAUCUGGUGCCUUUCCUGUCAAAAGGUCCUGAAAUAUUGGUGACUAAUGAAGAACGUUUACGUCGUUGUUAGAACCCGCAACUCCAAAAAAAGCAUGCCAAAUCCAUAAGUCUUGUGACGCAACAACCUCUAAUACUAACGAAGACGAUCCAAGAUGAUCACUUGUGUAUUGACCUUUCUAUGCCACAUGACAAUUUCUCCAUAUCGACUUUGUGCAAUCAAUGCUUCCAAGCAUUCCCGAAAAACUAUGUCGUUCUUCUUGCGCCGCAUAUAGUUAUUGCAUGUCAUUCAAUGAACGUUUGCGCAAGUAUUUGUCACUGAAGGUUUUGAUAACACCUCUCGCCAAUCUAUACAAACUUUCUCAUGCAGUUCACUCUGACAAUCUAUAAUAAUAUAAACAUAUAUUUAAUUUUUAAAACAACUGUAAUUACGGUACUUGCUUUCCAUUGCAUUGACUAUUCGUUGAAACACAUUUUUCCGCAAACGAAACCUUCUUUUAAAAUCGCUAGGUUGGUAGACACAAUUAUCCGCAAAAUAAUCGUGUACUAGACGUCUAUUCCCUUUGAUGCGUGCAAAUUAUACCUACCUAGCUACACCUAAUUUUAUAUUUAUAACCUAACUAACUUAACUAACUAAAUUGCACCUAGGCACUGUACUUAGUCAAAUUAUAGAAUAGUCGGGUAAGUCGGGUGUCGAUCAUAGGGAAGGGUUUUAACUAAUUAAUCUACCUACUAUUAAAUUAACCUAAUUUCUAAUAAAGUGGGGGGGUUUUUUUUAUCUAAUUUUGCAAGUUUAGAUGAACUUAAUUCGUAACACAAAAUUCAAUCAAUUAACAAACACUUAUGUUAGUUCAAAUCCACUUCCCCUCAAUGGUUUAUAAAUUAGUUAUGACAAUUACUGUUGGUUACCAAUUAAGAUAGUAUUAGCAAUUCAGUUCUAAAUUUACUAACAUUGAUUAAUUAAUGUAAAUCUAUGCAUUGUCACACAAUAGUUAACUUAAAAUCAAUUAUUAAAUGAAAUUGGAGCCAUGUAAGAUUGAUUUGAAAAACACACUUAUGGUCAUAAUAUGAGUUCUCUAGCACAUCCUAAUUCAAUAGUUCAAUUAUUUUUCUAAGAUUUGUUUGAUCUUAGCUCUAAUAAACUAGUGUUCACUGAAUUAUUAAGUAUUCAAAUUCAUGCAUAUUCAUAUUCACUAACUACACAUAAUAAGAAUUUAAAGCAAUCAAAUAUUAAAUCAAACAUGCUAGGUUCAAUCAAUCAAACACAAGUCAUAACCAAAAAGUAAAUCAAAACUAAAGUAUUGAAACCAUGAGUUCCAGCUUCAUCUAGCUAACAGAAGCAGCUAGAUUUAGCUGGACAUACUAGCAAACAAACAUAAACAAAUCAUAUUCAAAGACAUAUUUAAAUGUACCAAACUAUUAAGCUAAUAAUGAACUUCUCCUUCUUCCUUGGUGUUGAAAGCCAAUUCCAAACGUUUUCUCCCUCUGGAUUUUGUCUCCAGGAACCCUCCAAGUUGUCCAAAAGUCCCUCAAAGUCGUAAUGAUCAAGAGAAUAUAUAGUUAUCAUAAAAUUCACUCUCACGUCGUGAAUGAGUAUGACUCACGACGUGAAUGCAGUAGAUAUCUGUGUUCUACAAGGAUUCCUCCUCCGCGAUGCUUAUCUUCUGGAAUAGUUCCAUUCACGUCGUGAAUAGUUAUGACUCACGACGUGAAGUUAGCAGAUUACAGGGAUUUCCUCUUCUUUCAUUCUCCAAGCCUCCAAAGUUCCAUGCUUUGUCAAUUUCAGUCAUUUUCUCCCAAAAUACUUCAAUUUGGCUGCAAAGUACAAUUAAAGCUUAUAAGCAUCAUUAUUUAAUGCAAAUAACCAAAAUAUUAAUAAAAAUGUAAGUAAAUAUUGCCCAAAAACAUGUAUAAAUAUGGCAGUAUCACCCUUCUUCACGAUCUCUGUUCAACGCCGCACGUCUGGUCAGUAGUGGAGCUGGCUUUGGCGGUAACAUGUAUGUAACAUAUCGAUACAUCAUACCCACGAACAUAUCAUUCUCGUCGAUAUCAUGAUUAUAUGGAUGAAACGGGUCAAAAGGUUCCAUUUUUUUUUUGUAAAUAGAAAUAUAGAAAAUAUAUUAAACUUGAUAGAAAUGUGUAUUAGAGAGAAUUAGAUAAAUUUUCUAUGUAAAGAUAAGUUAGAAUGUGUGUGUGUGUGUAUAUAUAUAUAUAUAUAUUAAAGUAAUUUUUUUUAUUAUUCGUGACCGUUCCACAUCGGUCAGAAAGUAGACCGUUUAUCCCGUUUCGUCCCGUUAUCACCCACACACCGAAUAUCGUAACGCCAAAAAAACGUGUACCUGGAGGCGGUGUUUGCACCGUUAUACCAACAUUUUUUGAUGUACACGUCGGAUUAACGGGCACUUCGGUUGCCCAUUCCGAGUAGUCUAAAUGUCAAAAUGCAAUGAAGAAAAAGAUUCAUUACAAAUGUCAAUUAUAAGUAUGUAGAAGGAUAAAAUAUAAAAAAGUUAUUAUCUUUUGGGAUAUACACAGUAAAGUCCCAAUAUUUUCAUCGAUUUGACAAGAAAAUCCUGAACUUUAUUUUUUUGACAGUAAAGUCCAAAUUACCGGCAGUUUUUGACACUUUUACAUUUUUUUCCCGAUUAGCCGGUAAUUAGGACUUUUUUGUCAACAAAAUAAAGUUUAGGACUUUCUUGUCAAAUCGUCAAUUAGGACUUUACUGUUAAAAAAAAAAAUAAAGUUUAGGACUUUUUUUGUCAAAUCGUUGAAAAAAUUGAGACUUUAGUGUAUAUAUAAUUUUUUUGGUUAGAAACUUAAUGAUAUGAUACUCUUUACGCAUAAGAGUUAUUGAAACAUUCUCUAAUCAGCUAGAUCAUAUUGAAAUCCUUUACGUUUGCUUCUUGUUAAAUCGUUAUUUUAAUCUCAACAAACUGACAUUGAAAAAAAUUGAGAUAAUCAAGAAAGAAAGAAAGAACCAGGGUUGUGUUGGCUUUUUGCAGUCUCAAAAAUGGAGAAAUUAGAAACCUACAAAAACGAAAAUGCCCUGACUUUUUACAAAUACAAACAACACGUGCCUAGUCAAAAUGGUGUGAAUGUGGAGAAGGGAAAGAAGGACAAUUUCGUUUUUUUCGGUUUCUUAUUUCUCCAUUUUUGGGGUUGCAAAAAGCCAACACAACCCUGGUUCUUUCUUUCUUUCUUGAUUAUCUCAAUUUUUUUCAAUGUCAGUUUGUUGAGAUUAAAAAAACGAUUUAACAAGAAGCAAACAUUAAUGAUUUCAAUAGAAUCUAGCAUAUUAGAGAAUGUUUCAAUAACUCUUAUGCUUAAAGAGUAUCAUACCAUUAAAUUUCUAACCAAAAAAAUUAUAUAUACACUAAAGUCCCAAUAUUUUCAACGAUUUGACAAAAAAAGUCAUAAACUUUAUUUUUUUUGACAGUAAAAUCCUAAUUGACGAUUUGACAAGAAAGUCCUAAACAUUAUUUUUUUUGACAAAAAAGUCAUAAUUACCGGUUAACCAGAAAAAAAUGGUAAAAAUGUCAAAAACUGUUGGUAAUUUGGACUUUACUGUCAAAAAAAUAAAAUUUAAAACUUUUUAUCAAAUCGAUGAAAAUAUUAGGACUUUAUGGUAUAUAUCCCUUAUAACUAAAUAGCAACUAUAAUGUGUGGAGUUUGGUAAAUUCCGCUUGGGUUUGGUCUCUACAACCCAUUCAACCCCAAGGCUAUUCUAGUAAUUUCCCCACUAGAAGGAGCUAGGUUCCGCUGCCUUUUAAGUCUAGGUUUUCACUAUCAUCACUCUCACUCAUCGUUUUGUGGUUUCCUGUGGAGAAGAGCAGCAGAUACUCAACAACUUGCAGGCUCUAUUUUCUCAUCGCCAUCAGGUAUCUGUAGGUGUCCUAAAAUCUACGGUUAGGGUUUUGUUAGCACAGUAAUUCAUGGAAAAUGUUGAAAUCUCACUUGUUACCGUCGAUUCAAUCUUUAUUUUUUAGGAAAAAACAUCGGUUCACCAUAUCGUUAUAAUUGUUAUGAUGAUUUUGGUAUCAUCGAUGAAGUUUUAUGUGUUAUGUUUUCGUUGUAAGCUGGAUGUUUCAGGAUGUUUGAUGAUGUGUGCGAGAAUUUCAUUUUAGGGUUUAUGGUGUAUGUUUGCUUUCUUAAAUAGCGUCUACAUGUUAGCUAAUAUAAAUAGUUACCUUGAUGUUUAUAUAUUGGUUGCCACUCGGCUUCUUCAUCUUUGAAAACAAUGCGAUUAGACCCCCCUUAGGUUUGGAUCUAUGCUUAGAUGUGGAUUGUGUAAUUUUUCUCGUGAAAACUAUUGGAUAAACUUGCUUCGUUUUUUGCACCAUGGAAAGCUUAUUUAUGAUUUAAGCCUGGUUCCAACUUUGUUUGUGGGGUUAAUUUGCUACUUUUAAUGUCUAUAUGUAAAGUAUCAGUUGCUCUCUUUUAGGGUUUAUGUUUAGGUGUCUUAUUACCUCGACAACAAGCAAUGGUGAUGGGAUUAGAUCAUAUGUGAAGUUCUUUUGGGGUGCAUGGAUUAUUGCAUGUGAUGCCCUAUAAUAGUUUUAAUAUAUCAAUGGCUGUAAAUUAUCUGUCCAUAUUAUGCUAUGGUUAUCUGUCUAUUAAACUGUUUUCUUUUUGAACAUGUAAUGUGCAGAAAGAGUGCUUUGAGGAAUGCUGGAUUGAUUGGUCCCAAAUACAAAGAAGAUGAGCAAGAAGAACCCAUUUGUAUACUUGGAUGUGUCUAUAGAUGGAGAUCCUGUUGAAAGGAUGGUUUUUGAGGUCUUUAUUAUAGCUUUAACCUUCUAAGAUCUUUCUUUUAUUCUUUUUUCUGCCAGAUGGCAUUGCCACAUCACUUAUUAUCAAGCUGAAAAACUAAUUCCUUUUAUAUGGUGUUACAGCUAUUCUCAGACACUGUUCCCAAGACUGCUGAGAACUUCCGGGCACUUUGUACUGGUAAAAUGUUCAUCAUAAUUGGUAUUCUUUUUGUCAUAAGUUUAUAAAACUGGAUGCUUUUUUAAAUUUCAGGAGAAAAAGGGAAUAGUCAGAAAACCGGGAAACCCCUACACUACAAAGGAUCCUUCUUUCAUCGCAUAAUCAAAGGAUCCAUGGCUCAGGUAUGUUUUCUAUCAAUUACUUUCAUAAAUUAUAUUGUUUUUUUUUUUUUGUUUUGUUAUUUUAUUUUCCACUUAGUUUCUUCUAGUUCUGGAUGUCUUGGUGGUGGUCUGUCUUUUUAGUCGGCUAUCCUUGUUUAAUCUGUAGGAUACAGGGUUGAUGGUUCCAACUGCUUUUCUUGUGAUGUAGUUUUUAAGGUUGUAAUUAUUUGGUUGUAUUUGUAAUAUCAUCACAUUCAUUCUGAAACAUAUCAUACAAAAUUUACAAAUCCAUCUUUCUGCAAUGAUUUCUGAAUAUAAUUUCUAUAAGUGAAUUAAUUCUUUGUAUUUUUUUUUUGCAGGGUGGGGAUUUUUAUAAACGUGAUGGUAUGUACAUUUUGCCACCAAUUUUUUUUAAUUUUUGUAUACAAAAUCCAUAUCUCAUUGGUUUACUUUUGCAGGAAGUUAUGGAGAAAGCAUAUAUGGAGGGAAGUUUCCAGGUGAGAAAAGUCACUAUGUUCAUUACUUGUGUUUUCUGUUUGAAUGUUGAUGAUCAUAAAUACAUAAUAUGUCUUUAGGUAGUUGAGGAUUUCAUUUAAUUUGUUUAAAAAGUGUAUGCAAAAGAAAUUGAAAUAAACCUUUUAGCUUCUAUCUCCCCAAAAUUUCUAUAUAUGUUUAUAUUUUGAGAGAAUGGGUUUCCUUUUUGAAUUGCCUGUGAAGGUGGGGGCUGACAUUGGUCUUAUUCUCGGUGCAUGGGAGCUCAACCCACAAUGAAAUGGGCAAAUUGUAAUUGUCUUGAAAAAUGGUGGGUGUAUGAAUAUUUUGUGUGCCUUUCUUUCUAGGUUUGAAAUCUUUGGUAAAAUACAAAGUAUUUGGUUUGGAUGAUUUAUGCAGCUAGUUAAGUCUAAUGUAUAAUGUAUGCUUUAUAUUUAUGCCCAAUACAUUGUCAUGAGUUUUUUUAUCUGGCUUUUUUUCCAUGUUAAGUUCCUGGCUACCUUAUUAUUAUUAUUUUGAAUUGGUUAUAAUCAAAAUUUGUUACAUUUCAGAUGAAUCCUCCAAACUGAAACAUGAUGCUCCUGGCCUUCUAACAAUGGCAAUUGCUGAUCGUGAUUCACGUGGCUCUUUAUUUAAUGUGACAUUUGGCGCUAAUCGCCACCUGGAUAGGUUUGCUCAUCUUUGUUGUUACAAUUUUAUGUUGGACAAAUUGAUAGAAAUAGCUACAUACCUUACUUUUGUUAUGGUUACAUAUUGCUAUUAUUGAUAAAAAAAAAGUGUUAAGUAUGUUGCUAUUACGGGUAAAAAAAUAAAUACACUGCAUGUAUUGGUAUUUCCUACAUGUUAUCUUUUUAUAUUUAUCUGAAAAGUUAGAGUUUUAGCAACAUUAACUGUCUAACUUUUGAUGGAAAAGGAAAUUUAAGUGUUGGAAAUGGAAUUUCUUGAACAGGAAGUAUGUUAUUUUUGGAAAGCUUGUUCAAGGACUUGAUGUAUUGAAGAAGAUAGAAAAUGUGGGUGAUGAAGAUGGAAUGCCAACUGUGACAGUGAAGAUCAUUUAUUGUGGGGAAGUAAACGAGAGUGAGAAUCAAAGCUCUGGUAUGGUGGAUAAUUAUUGCAUUUUUAAUGACAUAAUUGUUUGUUUAUUUUUUUAAAAUAAAGUCUCUGUUUUUGAUGUUUUUAUAGAUAAGAAGGCAGCCAGCAAGUUGAAAAGUGGGAAAGAUGUUUCUUCAGAGGUUCACAGCCAUGAAGUGAAGCGGAAGGGAAAGCACAAGAAAUCUUCAAAAGAUAAAAGGAAGAAAAGAAAAAGAUAUUCUUCAUCUGAUUCAGACAGUUCAUCUGACAUGGAAUCUGACUCAUCUGAUUCGGAUAGUGAUUCCGACUCUGAUGAUUCAUCCUCGUCAUCAUCUGAUGUCAGCUCUUCAAGUGAUGACAGGCGUAAGAGAAAAAAGAGAUCCAGAAAGGAUCGACACAAACGUGGAAAAAGAAAGGACAAAAAACGCGAGAAGAAGCGUAGGAGACGCGAUAAGAAAUCCAAACGUAAAUCAAAGAGGUUGGUAUGGUAUUUUAAUUUUAGUUAAACCUUAAAUAAAGUAAUGUUUUAUUCUUUAUAAAAGUUAUUAUAUAUCAUUUUGUAGGGUGUCUGGUAGCGGAAGUGAGAGUUCAAGUGAAAGCGAACAUGCGUCUGAGGACAAUAAUGGUGAUGUCAAAAAGCGAAACCGGAAACAUAAUAAUAGUAAUAAUAAAUCUCCUACAGCUGAAUUUGAAGAUGGUAAAACAGGAGAUGCAUUUGCAUUUGAUGGACAUGUAAAGGAGGAAGAAGGUGAAUACCCGAAAGAAAAUGGUGGGGACCGCCCAAGCAAUGGUGUUGACCUGGCGAAGGCUGAUAUAGUCGAUGACCAUCUCGGAAACUCUAGGUUCAAUCAAAUUUAAUAAAACUUUAUUAUUAUUAUUAUUAUUAAAUUCUUUCUAAUCUUAUUUUUUUUUUACUAAACAGAAGUAGAAGCAAAAGUCCUCCUCGAAGGGAAUUGAGCAAGAGUAUGAGUAUUAGCCCAAGGAGGAGUCAAAGUGUUAGUGGGACCCCUCCUAGACGGGCCCCAUCACGUAGCCCGGUCAGAAGCGAAAGCAGCAGCAAGAGUCCGGUUAGAAGCAUAAGCAGAAGUCCAGUGAGGGGCAAAAACGUCAGAAGCAUAACUCCCUCACCAUCACCUCCACGAAGGAGUGUUUCUAGAAGCCCACUGCGAACAUCGUCUAGAAAAUCCUCACGAAAAUCAGUAAGCAGAAGUCCGGUUAGAUCUUCCAGAAGAAGCUACAGCAGAAGCCCAGUCAGAUCAUCUAAAAGAAGCUUGAGCAGAAGCUCUGGUAGACCGCCUUUAAGAAGAAGCCCUAGCAGGAGUCCGGUCAGACCGCCUAUGAGGGGUGGUCGCCGGAGCUAUUCCAGGAGUCCGGUAGGUGGGCGUAGGGCGGCUAGGUCACCGGAGAGAAGCUUGUCUAGAAGCGCUUCACCUGAUGGCUCUCCCAAACGUAUCAGAAGAGGACGCGGUUUCAGUAACCGAUUUUCUUACGCACGCCGAUACCAUUCUCCCGAUCGCUCCCCGGUCAGAUCUUAUCGCUAUAGAAGUGACCGCGACCGUGACCGUGACCGGUAACAAACUAACAGCUAGCAAUUUUAAAUUAAGUUUUUUAAUAUAUUUAAUAUAAAAACAAUUAAACCAAUAUUUUGGUUUGUAGUUAUUCAAGCUAUAGAAGGCGCAGCCCACUGAGAGACAGAAGUCCACCAAGGUAUUUUGGAGUAAUAAUGGAAUCUUUUUUUUUGGUGAGAAAGUGAUUAUUUGAUUGUUAAAUUCAAUUAUUUACACAGGUACAGAGGGAGAAGAAGCAGGACACGGAGUCCGAGUGUGUCCCGGAGUCCUGUCCCUGUGCGGUACCGCCGGCGCUACAGUCGGAGCCGGUCGCCGGUGGAGACAUCAAGGUACAGGCCAUCACCGCCAGUGGAGAGGAGGAGGGCGCCACGCAGCAGGACCCCGCAUUCUCAAAGUAGGAGCCCGUAUGAACGUAGGUCCUCUCCAUCACCAUCUCCGAGAAGGAGCGUGAAGUCAAAGUCAAAGUCAAAAUCGCCAUCGAGAUCAAGGUCAAUGUCGAGGUCAAGAUCUAGGUCGUCUUCUGGAAGCCCACCUGGGAAGAAAGGACUGGUGUCGUAUGGAGAUGGUUCUCCAGACAGUCAGAAGUGAGAAGAGAAGAGAAAGAUCUUACUUUUGAGGGUGAAAUGAUUUAUAGACUUGGUAAUUGGUACACUAUGUAGGGUGGGUGUGUUUUGAAUAAUUUGACUAUUUCUCUUGUAUUUCUUUCUUCUUCUGUGGAGUGACUGUUGAGGUGCUGCUAGACUAGUAACGAUGAUUGGAUAUGUGUUUGUUUUUAAGAGGUUGGUUAGACUGAGGGGAAUGGGACCGAGUAUCAAUUAUGUUAUGUUUUAAAAAGCCUCUUCUGUUUUUAUCUUUAUUGUUAUGGUUUGCUCUUUGAUCAGUGCGACUUGAAGGUAGUUUGUGCAUUUAUAUAUGUAUUAACAUAAUCUUGUGUGCUUGAAUUGAUACAUUAUAUUAUAAUCUUUUCAAAGAAUAAGCUAACAAGUUAAAAGGAGGGUCAUCAAGAUGUAUUGAAUUAUUAAGUAGAUUGAGAGAAGAUUAUUUACCAUCUCUUUAAGACCGGUAAUAAUUGCGACAUAUGUAUUGUAUUUAGUUAUUUAUUAUUUAUUAACCGAUAAAAUUGGAAUAAGUUACCUAAAAUUUAGGGGAAAAUAUGAUUAAUUACGUAAGUUCAGGGGGUAUUUUGGUUUACGGCAACAGCAGGCGACGUGUAGAAGAAGAAUCUCGGGAACCCUAGCAGAGGUUUGUUUCUCAAUCCUACGCCGCUACGACCAUUGCCGCUUUCUCCACUCCACGAUGAUAACAAAGAAACAUCCGUCGCCGUUUCUCAAUCCAACGGUAAUAUGAUUUACUUGUUCGUUAUUAUUUGAAUCUAUUAAACACAAGAUAUAAGCCGAAGCAUUUUGAUUGAAAUAAGACAGUAACCAAUAAAUACUAAAAGCCAAUCUCUUUUCUGUAGCUUGGUAACAUUUGUAUUACUAAUAAAUGAUGAAUGUAUUAUUGAUUGUACUUGGGUUUUUGAUUGACAGGGUAACAUUAAUGAUAUUGAUCGUAAUGUUCUAUGCAAUGUGUUACACAUCAAACAAUGCUCCAAAGCCUCCCAAUAUAUGGUGAAGUUUACAAAGCAAAGGCAUUGGAAUCAUCAAACAAGUAUGUCUCUACCUUUUAUAAGCUUCUUCAUUUUCAGUAACAUUAUAGGAAUUAGACACUCUUUCUUUGUCACCACUGCAUUUGUGAUGGCAUUGGCAGCUGGUAAGCUUUGGGACACCAUUUCUGAAUGCAUCUCCCAAAUUCAAUCUGAUUGUGAUGAUGAAGCUAAAGAGAGGGCACUUCAAACCCUAGUUUCCAUCACAAAAGCAAGCCCUCCACACAGAAAUUUAGUCAUGCAGAAUCAGGAAGCCAUCCCCGCUCUCCUCUCCCUGCUCAAAUCCUCCUCCCGUGCUCUUGAAAGACUCUCACUUUCCAUCCUCUUCAACCUCUCAUUAAACCCUAAUCUCAAAUCCACCCUUGCUGACAUGGCAACCAUUCAACACCUCAAUACUGUGAUCCUGUCUCGUGGGUCACUCGAGUCUAGCAAACUAGCAGCUUCUUUGAUAUGCAGCCUGGCAAUGCUAGACAAGAAUAAAGCAGUGUUUGGGGUAGCGAAUACUAUUCAAGCAUUGUUGAAGGGAGUUUCAAGGCCUAAUAGUCCUGUGACACAUCACCUUCUCAGCUCACUUGCUGAGUUGGUGCACUUCCAUGGGAAUUGCACAUUGGCUGUUAGAUCAGGUGCAGUUGGUGUUCUCCUGAGAAUAGUUGAGAACAAAGACAGUGAAGAUCUUUGUGGGACUGCUCUUAGUAUUCUUGGGCUUCUUGCUAAGUUUGAUGAAGGGCUAAAAGCUUUGACAAAUACACCUAGUAUUGUGAGUAGAAUGCUUGAUGUGUUGAAAGGUAGGUCCAUGUUGAAUAAUGAAGGUGCAGCCGAGGUACUUCUUCGUGUUUUUGAUGAGAGUGAAGAAUGCUUGAGAGAUGCUAUCGGAUUGCCUGAUUUCAUGUAUACAUUAGCUGAGCUCUCGGUGAGAGGAUCAACGAGAGCUCGGGAGAAAGCUUCUCUACUGUUGAGAAAACUUGAGGCUAAUGAAUCAUAUGUAGAUGAUGAUCUGGUGUUCUUGAAAUGGUAAGGUAGGAUGCGUGUCUUAAGAAAAGUAACAUAAUAAGAGCUUUUGUUUGUUUUGUAGCACAUGAGUGUGCACAUUAUUAGGUCCUCUUUGAAGGUUUAGGUAAUGAAUAGAUGGGUUUGGUGUUAAAAAAGGCAUGGAGUUUAUAGGAUUGAAGCCAUGACUCACAAAACUACGAACUACAUAAAAAAUGAAUUUGAGAGUUACAUAAAGCCAUAAAGUUAAAUUUAUAAAGAAAGCAUAACUAUCUUGCAUCCAAAUACAACAACAACAACAAAUAAACCCAAAUCCCAUAAAGUCUUGUGAGGUAAGUGGGAGGUUUGAUGUAGGUGGUCUUAGUGUCUUGCCUCCACCCGUGGGUAGAGAGGCUACCUCUAUAGGAGACUUUCGCCAUGAUCAAGGAUGCACCAUACAUGAGCAAAUAAAAGCAAUAUACAAUUAAAUAUACUAAUACUAGAAAUAGUACUAAUUGUAAAAAUGAAAUAACAUAAGACGAUAAAUACUUAAAUGCCUAAAUGAUAAUACAAGAAACAAAACUUAUGCUACUACACUAACCUAAUUCUCCGUCUCCACUCCUACCUAUGUGAGGUCUGUAGAAGGUGCCAACUCCUUCGUGUCUAACCUCACACUAUAGUUACGUUGCGUCCUCGGUCGACCUCUCCUCUUCGCCUUACCGUAGAUGUGACGCCUCGAUCCAUUGAGUACCGUCAUCUAUCCUUAGUACACUUUAUUUUAAAUACAACUAAGAUAAUACCUUAGAUUUCAUCUUCAUCAUGGUUUAACAAAAUUACAUAAGCAAAAGUGCAUAAAAGAAAAACUAUUUUAACCGUUUAUAAUUCAUCCAAAAUUUCUGUUAAAACACUAACUACUUGUGGUCCUUCUUCUUUCCUGAGAUACAUACAUGAAUACAUAAGCUUUAAGUUUAGUGAGUAUUUUGGUUUUAAUAUUUAGCAUAAACAUUUGAUGGAAAAAUAACAAUUAAAUGCUUGAAAACAUUAAUUUGAGAUCUUAUAGCUACAUGUAAGUAGGCCCAACUUCUGGGAGGUUUGCUAACCUUGGGAUUCAUAUAAGGCUGUCCCAUAAGGUCCGUUUUUAAGACGUCCCUUCAUCCCAUACCCAAUGCGUUGGGUUACUUGGGUAUUUAAAUGACCGUACUUAACAUGAAUAAAACUUUCAUGCUAACUUCAUAAUAUGUUGUUAAAUGUCUUUGAAAAAUCAUUUGAGCAAGUGAACAUGGCAAAUAAUUUAAAUGCAUUGAACAUAUACGUAGCAUGUAUGUAUCCCAUUAAAUCACAUAAAUAUACUCACCUUUCUUUGAGCUUUUAGGCUUCUUUUUAAUCUUUUAAGUCACCACCAAGCUUGAUAGUGUAUUCUAGGAUGAAAAAAAAUGCUUAACUUCACUUGCUAUGUCUAGUAAAAUUGUGUGCAUUGCUUGCUUGUUCUUUAGGCCUAAAACAUAGUACAUUGUUGAUGAGAUGAUUACACCUAGUGUACUUGUUGUACCUCAUCUCCUUAGAAGCUUACACCUCAAGCCUCUAGCUCUUCUAUGUCAUCUUCCAGCUUAGCUUAAUCUCCUUAGAAGCUUACACCUCAAGCCUCUAGCUCUUCCAUGCCAUCUUCUAGCUUAGCUUAAUCACUCAAAAUCUAGGCAACGCUUAUCUCUACUUGUAUAUGCUAGCUUGGUUACUACUUUUAGCCUUGAUUUGUCAUGCUAAGCUUUGGUUUACUUGUAGCUGGUGUUGUGGUACUUGUAAGCAUAUGGUAAGCUACUUGUGUGCUUGCUUAUUUUCAACUUUUCUUUUUACAUAAAAUUUGCAACAUUCUUCUAUAACAACUAUUCUUAAAGUGUCCCUUAUGUUCUUUUAUAUUACAAGGGUGUUAUGGUAGAUGAUUGCCUCCUCUUGACAUAUCUAAACCACUAAAAUCUUUCUUUCCUCGAAUUUUCGGUGGUUCACGCAACUCCUAACUUAUUUAUGAUUAUAGCAUUCAGUAUUUUCUCCAACAUUGUUGUAAAGCAUAAACACUGAAGGAUCCUCAUUUCAGAAAUUUCCAUCUUCCUCUCAUGCUCUUUUUUUUCCGGCUAACAUUUGAAGCAACUACCACCUUGUAUCUUGCAUCCAAAUGAUGCCAAUGGUUGUUUUAAAACAAUUUUGGCUAAGGGUGUAGACUAGACAAAGCAAAGUAGAAGGAGAAACGAGGUUUAUUGGGUAGGGUUUAACAUGGACUAGGCUUAUAUAGACCACACUUUUAUCAUGUUAGAUAGUAGAUAGUUUUUUAUAAUGAUUUCUUAUGCAUCUUUAGCGUGGUCGUACAAUUAUGAAUAUUUAUAAUAGUUGGAUAAAUUUAUAAAAUAUGAAAGUGUUGUGGCAAAAUCUAGAGAUUUGAAACAUGUGAACCUACAUGUUUUAGACAUGACACUUUAGUGUCUUGUUUAGGGACCUAUUCCGUGUAAAUGCAUGUAAUUAUCACAUGAAGCUUGCAAAUUGAACUUAUUUUACUAAAUAUUAGGUGUAGACUACCAGGAAAGAAAUUUAAAGCCCAAAUUUGCUUGCCUUUUCUUUCAUUUCCUUUAUCGUGAGUUCGUGACCUUUCCCCUUUAUUGUGCCCUCGACAAUCGACAUAGGACAUCGCCGAGUGGUGCGUUUGCUAUCGUAUCUUUCGAUUGCACCUCAACUACACCUAAAACAACAAGAAUUUGUUUAUCGCAUUGAUAUUAAGGUAUCUUUUUCGAAUACUUAACCUUUAGAUCUAGUUUGAUCCCAAAUCGAUUAUUCCAAAAUUUUACUUGUAAUGCUUUAGUUAGGUAAAUUAUUUUGCAACCGGAAAGAAUUGGCUAGGGUUGUUUGGAAUAAAUGUUUGUGUGCUUCCGAUUACGCUAUCAAUAUUUCUUUACAUUUUUGUUAAUAGGAUUAAUGUCAAUGAACUUAACUUGUAUAUGGAAUGUCAUAAUUAUGAUUUCCAUUCCAUGAUAAACAAUGUUAGGGCCUUAUUAAUGAGAUAAUUCUUUAAUUAAGGUAGUUAUUUAAUUACUUAGAAGCAGUGAUGAUAGUUUGUUAAGCUUUGGUGUCAUGGAUGGUGUCACUUAGAUCAUGAGAGAGAUAGAGAGAAGGGAAGGGGGGGGGGGGGAUCUUAUGGGCCAUCAUUUGUACCCAUCUAGUAGAAUGACGAGAGAGUCGAGUUCCAUAGGUCUUGGAUAUUUCUUCCAUUUCAUAGUGGAUGAUAGUGGGUAUCUUACUAUGAUUUCCUUCUUUGUAUCUCCAAAUUAGCAAAGGGUUUAAAGGCAUUUAGCUACAACUCAUUGCCUUAUUGUGGUUGUAAAUAAUAUGUCCAUCUUUUUGCACAUGUUAUGCUUUUUUCGUAAUCUAGUGGGAAAUUGUGUUAGAUCUUUUGAUAUCCUCGUUUAUAUAGAGGGACACGUUUGAGAACAUGAACCAUAAAUUUUGGAUAUAAUGAUAUUAACUAUGUUGAGACAUCUUUUUGGUUUUAAGAUGAAUUUUGGUUUUACUCCCACCAUUAUCCCAUUUUCUUUGGUUUUUCCUCUCAUUUUUGGACCAUUGACUCUAGUCGUAGUCAAAUCUCAUCUUUACCAUUUUAUAUGGACCUUGUUGCUCAAACCUCAUCUUUAAUAUCGCUAUGCGGCGGUGUUUGGGAUUGCUUUUCAAAACAACCUAUUGACUUAUUGGCUUUUUGAAAAGCCAAUAAGUCAAAAAUAAUGUUUGGCAAACUCAAAAGCAUUUUUCAAAAUAACUUUUCCAUUAGCUUCAAAAAGGAGAUUUCAAAAAGCAGGUAAAACUUGGCUUUUUGAAACUCCUUUUAGCUUUUUAAUCAUAAUAGCUUCAAAAAAGAGAUUUUAAGCCUAACAUUUUUUUUAAACUUAUUGCCUUAUUGGAUUUUGCCAUCUCAAAAGCUAAUCCAAACACUUUUUUAAGUCAAUAAGCACUUUUUCCCAACAACACUUUUGGAAUUCAAAAAGCAGUCCCAAACACCCCCUUGUUCCAACCAUGUGUUGUCAAUGCACCAAGAUCUUCAGUUUUGAUCUGAGCCUUGGCCUACAUUAGUGCUGGCUUUGACUAUUAAGUUCUACCUGAGUUGGGUGUCACUAGCAUUUUCUCAAGAGAUUACUUGAUCUUUCAUUAUUCUACCUUGGUGUCUUUUAGCAGAGCAUCAGAGUUUUCUCUAUUGAGUCAAGAAAUUCUAAACCUUUUAUAUUGCUGGUCGCCUAUAGAUGUUUUUUCCAAUCCAUGACUUGUAAACUACGGCGUUCUCUGUUCUUAUAGAUUUGGUCCUUGAAUUUUAUGCAAGAAAUAUUUUAUAAUGCUUAUUUAAAAAAGAAAAAACUAAUGUAAUGCAAUGUUUAGAAGAGGAAGAAUGAGCAUGGUGGGAGAUUGGAUUUGUGGGUCAUGCAAUCACUUAAACUUUUACUGGAGAGAAUCAUGCAGGAGAUGCAAAGAGCCACGAUCCCAAGACAUGAAUGCAGCUGUGAGUGCGGGCCCCAGGGUGUUUGCUUUUAGGCCCGGGGAUUGGUUCUGUGAUGUUGGGAUUUGUCAGGCUCACAACUUUGCAAGCCGAAGAUUCUGUUUCAAAUGUGGUGUAAUUAAAAGCAUACCAUCUUUUGGUCCUACUGUAGGACUAGGAUACUACCCUACCCUUCCCCUUCCCCCUCCCCCUCCUCCUUUCUUGAGUUUCAGUUUCAUGAAUCCCAGAAUCAGCCAACGAGGCUGGAAGCCUGGCGACUGGUUUUGUGGCAGGGGGUUUUUUUUUUAAUUUUUUUUUUUUUUUUUUUUUUUUUAUUUUAAAUAUUUUUUUUUUUUUUAAAUAUANUUUAUCUUUUUUCAUAUUUUUUUUUUUUUUUUUUUUUUUAAUUAAGGUCAUAAUCAUUAUUCAUUAAUACUAGUUGAUUCUCAUUCAUAUAAUCAUAUGAUAUGAUAUAGGCCUGGCUGUAAUGCACACAACUACGCUUCCCGAAUGAUAUGUUUCAAGUGCAAGUCUUCUAGGGAAUUGGUUACCAAUGUUUCUAAUUGAUUCCUUCCUUGCAUUCCGAAUUCUGGUAAAGAUUUUUGUUUUUUUUUUUCUUAUGAAUGUGUGUGUAAUUUAUGUCAUGUUUUUCAGGUCCUAUGGUUAUGCUAUCACCUCUGUUAGGAGAGAGGGAGAGUCAGAGUUGUUGUUUUUUCGUUCAGAUCUUGUUAUAUCUUAUGUGUUUCUUUUUAUUUCUGUUGGUUGCAUUGCAAUGGAGUUUGAAUCUGGUAUGAAGUUUACAUGAAUUAAUGAAGGAUGUAAUUAUAAGUGGUUUCUUCAGUUUGAAUGUGAUGAUUAUGGAUGGAUGGAUGGAGUUAUAAGAUUUUUGUGGCAAUUUGGUUGGAUCAUAUGUGUAGUUGUAAGAAAAGUUCAUUCAACUGGGUUGUUGAGUUUCAUACACAUUCAUUUGCAAAUGGUAAUUUGACAAGGAUUUUUUUUAAUAUAGCUGAUUUUGGAAAUUUUGGUCUUCAAAUGAUUUUUUUGUUUUUUGUUUUUGUUUGUUUGUUUGUUUUUUUUUUUUUUUUUUUUUUUUUUUUUUUUUUUUUUUUUUGUUUGUUUGUUUGUAAUGGUCUAUGUUCCAAAUAAAAUGACUUUUUUUUUUGUUUCCUAAGUUAUACCUGAUUUUUGCAGUUUUAUCACAAAAAUAGUCAUUUUCUUGGUACGAGGACCAAAAUCAUUAAAAAGAGGAUCAAAAUUGCAAAAAAAAAACUCACCUCAAAAUUGCAAAAGAAAACUCACAGACCAAAAUUACAAUUCAAAAUUACAAAAAGAGGACAUACUACCUAAUUCAUUGAUGAUUAAAGUGGGACAUUGUUUAGUCGUAUUCAAUAAUAUAUAGAAGUAGGAUCGGGUGAUGACUUGAAAAAUAGUGAGGAUUGCGAUGACAAAUCUUGGAUGUUUGUUGGUUUAAAUGGGUGGUUGAGAUAAAUCAAAAUUAAUAAAUAAACAAAAAAAAAAUCGUCCAAUGACAUUUUUGUAAAUAAAAUCAAGUUAGGAUCACUUUCCAAUUAAAGGGCAAUGUCUGGGGGUCAUAACUGUCAAAGGAAAUAAUAAAAUUUUGUUGCUGAAAUGAACUCCACGCACAAAAGGUGCGUCGCCAACUCUAUGGAUCUUACUCUUGAACACGUUUCGCCACCAGGUUUACUUGGGUUUAUUUAUUUAUUUUUAUUUUUCAUGGAUCUUACUCUCGUAUGAACUUGUAUAAGUAGUCCCCGGAAAUGUAUUGACCUGAACUUCAUGAAUAUGGCUUCGUAAUCUGGUUUGGAUGGGUUCUAACGGGAAAAAAACAGGUCUUGAACAAGCUGUUGUUUCGAGUUAAAAUCUGAAAAUUUAACCUAGUUGUUUAAUUAUAUGUUUAAGGUGAAUAUCCCUAUUUAAUCUUGAUUGUUAUUCUUAGGAGUUUUGAAAGGUGACCGGGUGCGAAUGGGUUCUGGUUUCAGUUGGAGGUUUACUCUACUACUUGAGGUGAGUUUCUCACUACACUGUGUAAUGUUGUGCAUUCUUUGCUUUAGCUCGUGUGUGUUAUAGUAUGUUUAUACGGGUAACACUAGAUUGGGUUAGUAUCUAGUGGGAGUAUGUUAUUUGUUCAUGUAUUGAAGAAUAUGUAUAGAAGGGAUCGACGUAUCCGAGCAGAGGAUCGGGCAUAGCCAGUGUGUCCCAAGGGGUCGACGAAUUGAGCAAGGGGGAUCGGGCAUGACCAAUGUGUCCCAAUGGGUUCGGGUGAUCGGGCUUAUCCAAUGUGCCCCAAUGGCUCGAUGUAUCGAGCAAAGGGGAUCAGACAUAACUAAUGUGUCCUAGUAGGUGUAUGUUGUUAUUGAUUCGCUCUUUGACAUGCAUACGUGUUUGUGUGGUUGAUAUUGUUGUUAUAUGUGUAUUAAGGGUAGAGCUUGUAUGAUAUAGACAUAUAGUAUUGUGUAUGUGUGAAAUCCCCUAAGCUUUGUGCUAUUCCCUUUUCCCUUAAAAAAAUACCAUUUCAGGAUUAACAUGUACUUAGGAUGGCAGGGUGUGAUAGUACACACCGGCUCAGUACGGAUUGAUGAAGUUUUCAUAUUACCUUGGAUUAUGUUUCUUUGAUUUUGGAAUUUAUAAUUAACAAAUGGUUUUUGAAAUUUAUUGAUCUUGGGAUUAUGGUUUUAAAACUUAUUUUGAAAAAAAGUCAUGGUUUUGAAUAUACUUAUAUUGUUUUUAGAAGUUCAAAUUUAUUGUAAAUUUUAGGAUGUUACACAAUUGUAUUGGAUUGAGUGCGAAAUUUGAAAAUCCAAUUGGAUUACUUGAAGGCAAUGUUACUUUGUUAGUCUUAUUUAGCAUAAUUGUGUGCGGUUUUAUUUUUAGUUAUCGUAGUUAUAUUUGGUUAUUCGAUAGAAAGAGAUUAGAAUUGGUUGGAUAAUGGAUAACUACUGAAUUAAACCAAUAAAAAAAUAUCCAAUAGAUAGAAUCGAUCUAAUCCAACAUCCAAUUGGAUCGAUUUGGUUUGAUUUUUUUAUGAUGAAUUGGAUUGGACCGGUUGACAAAUCCAACAUCUAAUGGAUGAUUAGAUUGGAUUGGUUCCAUCGAAAUCCAUUGGAUUUGAACCGCUGAUCACCCAUAAUUUGGUUAUUAUGUUUUUUUCAAUCAGCUGCUGGAACAUGAUGGUUCUAAAAACAUUUUGCAAAAAGGUAAGAAUCAGCCAUAAAGUCACAUUACCUUUCAUUGUUGAUGGUUGUGGAAUGUGAACUACUUUUUAUUAAAUUAUAAAUUAUCUAAGGAUGAAACUGCAUUUCCUUUCUUCAUAUCACUAUAACACAUUACAUUAUUUUUGUAUGUUUUUAUAACAUCAAAUCUUUGUUGUGAAACAAGGUUUAUUAUUAACAUGAGUUGGUUUGAGCUUUAACAAAAUUUUAAGAUAAUUAACUAUUUCAUACAAAUGAUUGUUCCAUGGAUUAUAUCAUUAUUAUUAUUAUUAUUAUUAUUAUUAUUAUCAUUAUAAAUCUUAUAAUAGAAGUCACUUGUGACAUAUAUCCUUAUUAUUAUCAUUAUCAUCAUUAUAAAUCUUAUAAUAGAAGUCACUUAUGACGCGGUUCAAGAUAACUCCCUAUAUUGAAGUGCAAAUAAUAAAGAUACGAAUGAUGGAUGUUACGUAAUAAGAUUAUAAUUUGAAAUAGUAUGCUAGAAAGUAACAUGACAAACAAAUCCUGAAACCGUAAACAACAAACAUACAAAAGCCAGUUUGGUAUCAAGAACAAGGUUGGACCGAAACCGUAAACAACAAACAUACAAAAGCCAGUUUGGUCCAAAACCCGAAACCCGAUUUAGUACCCGGAACUGGACCGGACCGAACCCCGACCCGCUACACCUAAAAACGGUCCAGUUCUCGGGUAAGGUAAUUCAUGGUUUUCGGUCUUCAGGCUGGUCCGGUUCGGGUUCUGCUCGUUGCUCUAUAUUGAACCAUAUUAAUUUGAAACUACGAAAACUCUUCGGCUUAUAUUUUAAGUUUCUAUUUGGUGUGUUAGCUGAAAAAACUAGUUUUUAACUUAUAAGCUAGUUUAUCCAUAAACUAUCUCGGAUAACUUAGACAAAACUGCAAAAUUGGUCCUUGUGGUAUGCAUUUUUUCUGAGGUUUAAUCCAAACCUCGAUUUUUUUGGAUUGGUGGUCCUUUUUGGUCCCUUGAAAAAUUGAAAAGACUAAAAUGCCCUUCUGAACAGUUUAUAUGUUAUUUUCUAUUUAAUUUAAAAUUAUAUUAAUUAAAAAUAUAGGGCCCACCUCUUUCUUUCUUUCUUUCUUUCUCUCUCUCUCUCUCUCUCUCUCUAUAUAUAUAUAUAGCCAUUUGGGUUUGUCUUUGACAAACAUCUAAUAACAUCUUCAUAAAUUCAAGAACACUCAAGAACAUCUUAUGCCAUCACCACCAUUCGACCACCGUCCUCCACCACCACUGUCUGCCACCUCCAUCUCCACCUGAACUUUUUAUACCACUUUAUAUCCGCCUAAAAUCAUCCCAAAAACAAAAAUCAUACACAAAAUAUGGGUUUGUUCUUGAGUUUCCCCUUAAAAAUAAUCACUAGAUCUGAUGCCUCAUCAAGAGCUCAUGAACACACACACCCACCCACAUUCAAGAACACAUUCAUGAACCCCAUAUCUGAUGAGCACACAAACACAAACACACAUUAUAUCAGAUCUGAUGAAGGGUUUUUGGAUGAACACAUUCAAGAACAAAUUUUUGAACCCUAGAUAUAAGGAACACACGAACAAAAUCAGAUCGAGUUCAUGGGUUCUCGGGUUCUUCAUCCAAAAAACAAAGAUCUAAAACCAAAACGAACAUUUGACCCCUCAGUGGCAGAUUUCUUCGUCCCCAUCUUCCAAAAACCCAUAUUGUAUGUGUGUAUUUUGUGACAUCCCCGAUUUCACGGCCACAAAAGACCGAUUUGAUUAUGAUUAUUUAAAUCAGAAUAUUCUUUUCAAAAGAGUAAUAAUGUGGAAUUUGUUCCAAAAAAUAUGACAAUAUCAUUAUUAAAGCAUUUCCGAGGAAAUGUAUUUCAUUUAUAUUUAAAAACCUUGGGAUGUCAUGGUCAAUACAACAACAUAAGCAUAAAACGUAAUAUUACAGGCCUUACAAUAGUUUAUUAUUCUAUUGGCCUAUUCUCCUUUAAAUCUCACUCCAAAUUUAAACUCAUCACACCUAUGCUCUUACGCUGCUACCUGUGAAACAAAGAAACUGAGUGGGUUAGGCUUCGGAAAGCCUGAUGAGCACAUAGGGUUUUCAACCCACAAUAAUUAAAUUUAUUAAUUUCAUCAAUCAAUCAACUCGGUUAUCCGUUCCCGUUAUCCUCACUUUUUGUCCCUAAAACAUCUAAAUUAAGGGACUUAGCCUAAGGAUUUUUCAUCGGGGUGACAGCACUGCAUAGGGGAUUCCUCAACAAUAUAUGUUAAAAGGCAACCAUAGGGGAAUGGAGUACAUCUGGUGAACAUUUAGUUCAAAAACACCUACAUGUUUCGAGCCUACCACCGUUCCACUAGACUGUCUAGAAUAGUUUGUGGUCGUCAUCUAUACUCCGCUAGAUGACUGGAUCAUCUUAAACACUCUAGGCCUAUCAUUAUUUAUUUUAUCAUCUAUAUCAUCUACCCAUCUUUACCCUUUAUAUUUAUAGGUACAAAAUACAUACAUAGUUUAAAUCGAAUAAAACAUGUAUAUUUUGUUCAUCCAACAUACAUAUCAAGAACACAGAUAAUAUACACACAUAACACGUAAUUUUUAUUAAAUACUUCAUAUUUAUGUAUAAGAUGAAAAUAACUAUGCACUCACUUGACUAGUUAGUGGUUACUAACUAUGUUCUUAAUCGUCGUUAUAUCACACUUUCUUUAUUUAUGACUCCUUGCUCGAAAAUUCUGAACUCUAAUUUCAAAAUUUCUGGCCCUUCUUUAUAUCGAGUAUAUCUUUGGCUAUUAUUGUUUUCUAUCAUAAGAAUUGCUCAAAGGAUACCUCUAUUUAUAUAAAGGAUUUUUGAAUCGCCCGUACAAUAUCAAAAGAUUAGUCACCCAAAAAAAUUACACGUAUAACUUCAAUAAAUUAGAUGUGUACGAACAUACUUGAAAGGUUAACACAUAUUCUUCUGAUAUUGACUCUAAAUUAGAAGGUGUAUUAUUACUUCUCUUUUGUCAACACAUAUCAUUUUAAUUAAUAAAAUAUGUACGACAUGUAUUAUAUUUCUUACAGGUAUGUUGGUUUGCAAUUUACAAAUCAAUUAUAGUUACAUUUAUGGUCCAUAAGUUAUUAUUGUAUUAACACAAUAUAUCAUUCAAGUUACACUGUAGUCCCUCAGCUGCAUGGAGCCCCUAAUAAGAAUAAAGAACAAGUAAGAGACGAUCACCCACUUAUUUGUUUGGAUCGGUCCGAUCCAAUCAAAUUAAGUAAAUUCAACUUAAUUCCGGUUUACAAAACAUUGAUUCAAAUAGUUCAAACUAAAUUCAAAUUCGGUAUGAAUUAAUCAAAUUACAAUUCGAUUUUCAAGAGUCGGAAUGUUUUAAAAUAGUUAUAAUUUGAAUAUUAGCUGACUUUAUAAAAGAAAUAUAAUCAAAUGGUUAGUUGUAAAUUAAAAUUUAUAAACUGUUAAGGAAAAUAUAUUUUGAUUCAUUAGAUAAAAAAAUCUUGAAAAAAAAAUACAUAUUAAGGUUUUUAUUAGGAGAGUGUUUCUAACCUAUUUAAAAAACAAUUCAGUAAAUUAAUAAAUAAUUAAAAGUAUAUAUUAAAAAUUAAAAUAUAUAUAUCUAUUCUAAUAAAUGAAAGUGUUUUUUGUCACAUGUUACACUCUCACUCAAUUUAUCAAAUGUCAUUUUGUGGUUAUUUUGAAUUAAUUUAUUUUUCCAAAUGUCAUGUUAUGUUUUUUUUUUUAUUUUAAUAAAGUUCACAUAAUAUUUAAAUGUAAUAAUUACAAUAAAUUUAGUAAUAAAUAAAUAUAAAUUUCAUUAAUGGAUAAAAAAAUCAAUUUUAAAAGAUAAAAAAAAUCAAUUUUUAUAAUUCAUUAUUUUUUUUUUAUAAAUUCAAAGUUCUUAAAUAUUUAGACAUUUAUAAUUAAUUUUUUUGAUUAACUCAUAUAAUCCAUGAGUCUUAUAGUUUACAAAAUAUUUAUCAAAUAAAGAUAUACUUGCAUGCUGUAAGAUAAUUUUUUUUACUAAUUUACCACCCCGGCCUUUCUAACAAUAAUUUGUAUUAUAUAAAAGACAAUGUUUUCUAAAUAAAUAAAAGAUAUUAGUUUAUUUUAUAUAUAGACAACCACAUAUCAUUUCCAUAUAUAACAUGAUGGUUGUUCAGAUCCGUGAUUAUUUAAUUUAAACUAUUAAAUAUGUAUUUUAUGAGUCGGUGAUUUCUAACACUAUUAAAAAAAGGGACAUUGUAACGAAACUAAAAGGCCGAGUUUCCUGUAAGCAGCUGACUGAAGCCAGACAGUCAAGCCAAGCUGAUUCUCCCCGCUCUCGACCAAAAUCUAUUACUAUUUUCAUCAUCACCGACACCCUCCCCCUCUCUUUUCUUAACAAAUCAAUACAAAUGAUUAAUAUGCAGUAAUCAUCGAAAGUGAGAUCAAGAAUGGGCCCUUUUCUUCUCACGCCAAUGCCCAUCAAACUUCAUUGAUUAUCAAGUUCCUUCAAAUUCAAAUCAAGAACGAAAAAAUCAAUUUCUAUCAUCUGGGGCUCUUCUUUAGUCCCCUGUUUCUACUUUAAUUGGAAUACAUGGAGGCAAAUGCAGGAUUAGUUGCCGGAUCUCAUAAGAGGAACGAGUUGGUGAGAAUAAGACAUGAUUCCGAUGGAGGGGUAUGUGUUCUUUCGAUUUUUCUUGAAUACCCUUUUGGAUUUUGAGUGUUCAGAAAUCAAUUUUAUCGACUCUUGUAUAGAUCUAAGUGAUUUAACAGUAGGCUAUUUUGUUUAACCCAAGUUUGUUUAUUUUGUUUGGAUCUGAGUGAUCAGUGUGACCAGUGAGCUCAGUAAUGAGUGAUGAUACGACUUUUGACUUAUUAAUCCUACCUUUUUGUUAAAUCUUCAAAGAGGGUUUUUUGUUAAAUUUGUGGAUUUAGAUCUGAAUCAUCGAGAUGAAAGUUUCUGUUUUCAGCGCCCAUCUUGAUUAAUUUGACAAAAUUUUCAGCUUUAGCACAUGAUGAUUUCUUAAAUUAUUUAAUUUUGAUUGUGACGUUGAGUGUUGAUGAUGCAGCCGAAGCCUUUAAAGAAUAUGAAUGGACAGAUAUGUCAAAUCUGUGGCGACACCGUCGGCCUGACUGAAAACGGCGACGUUUUUGUUGCUUGCAACGAGUGCGCAUUCCCGGUUUGUAGACCCUGCUACGAGUACGAAAGAAGAGACGGAAAUCAAGCAUGCCCUCAAUGCAAAACUCGAUACAAAAGACACAAAGGUUAGUUUUUGAGUUUUUGUUCGUAUCAAGAACACAUCAAACAUAUGAUUUUUGUAAGAAUUAAAGAGAGAUACAAAUGUUUUUAGGGAGUCCCCGAGUUGACGGUGAUGAUGACGAGGACGAUGUUGAUGACCUGGAAAACGAGUUUGAUUAUGCACAAGGGAGACGACAAUGGCAAGGAGAAGAUCCGGAUCUUUCUUCAUCUUCUAGAAGACAUGAAUCACAGCAACCAGUUCCCCUUCUCACUAAUGGCCAACAAGUAAGAAAAUUACUUAUAUACCCUUUUGUUCUAAGCAUUACCUUUUUAACUAAAUUCAGAGUGUUAUUUUCAGGUAUCUGGUGAAAUCCCAAUUGCCACACCGGACAAUCUAUCUGUAAGAAGUACAUCGGGUCCAUUAGGCCCUGGUGACAAGCCUGUCCGCUAUAUGGAUCCAAGACAACCAGGUUACUUUCUUUUUUUUUUUUUUUUUUUUUAAAAAAAAAGUAUUAUUAUUAAUCAGAUAAUGUUGUAGUAAUUAUGCUAAUGAUGCCCUUUUAAUAAAUAGUUCCUGUAAGAAUUGUGGACCCAUCAAAGGAUUUAAAUUCAUAUGGGCUUGGGAAUGUGGACUGGAAGGAAAGGGUAGAAGGCUGGAAACUAAAACAAGACAAAAACAUAAUGCAAAUGGCAAACAGAUACAAUGGCGGUGAAGGGAGAGGAGGUGAGAUUGAAGGCACGGGAUCAAAUGGAGAAGAAUUGCAACUGUAAGUAGUAAACUAAAGGGUACUUUAGGAAUAUCAUAUUUGUCGACUUAUGAUUUGACUUUUUUUUUUUUUUUUUUUUUUUUUUUUUUUUANUUUGUUUUGUUUUUUUUUUUUUUUUUUUUUUUUUUUUUUUUUUUUUUUUUAAAUAUAUAUAGGGUUGAUGAUCCAAGACAAUUAAUGAGCCGUGUGGUGCCUAUUUCAUCUUCUCAUUUGACUCCAUAUCGAGUUGUGAUUAUAUUGCGAUUGAUUAUUUUGGGAUUUUUCUUGCAAUAUCGGUUGACUCAUCCUGUUAAUGAUGCGUAUCCUUUGUGGCUUGUAUCUGUUAUUUGUGAGGUGUGGUUUGCUUUUUCUUGGCUUCUUGAUCAAUUUCCAAAAUGGUCCCCCGUUGAACGUGAGACCUUCCUUGAUCGCCUUGCAUUGAGGUAAGUAAGUAAUGGGAUUUAGAUUUUGGGCUAAUUGCAAGAAAUAGCAAUGUACUUUCAUUUGUAGUCAUCAUCAUGGGCAAUUAGGUAAUUUUAGCUUAAACAAUGAAAAUUUGUUGUUUUGUAGGUUUGAUAGGGAAGGAGAGCCUUCACAAUUGGCACCUAUAGAUGUCUUUGUGAGUACAGUGGAUCCAUUAAAAGAGCCUCCUCUCAUCACUGCAAACACAGUGUUGUCUAUUCUUGCUGUGGAGUAUCCUGUUGACAAAGUCUCCUGCUAUGUAUCUGAUGAUGGAUCUGCUAUGCUUACAUUUGAGUCUCUUUCUGAGACAGCAGAGUUUGCAAAAAAGUGGGUCCCAUUCUGCAAGAAGCAUAGCAUCGAGCCCAGAGCCCCUGAGUUUUAUUUUGCUCAAAAGAUAGAUUACUUGAAGGACAAGAUCCAGCCUUCUUUCGUCAAAGAACGUAGAGCAAUGAAGGUGAGUUUUACCACUUUUAUGUUUUAUGUUUUAUGAUUUCUUCCAGUGUUUUACCAAAUACCUAAAACACCCUUUUAUGGCAGAGAGAAUACGAAGAAUUCAAAGUUCGGGUCAAUGCACUUGUAGCAAAAGCACAAAAGAUGCCGGAAGAAGGCUGGUCUAUGCAGGAUGGAACUCCUUGGCCUGGAAACAACCCCCGUGAUCAUCCUGGAAUGAUUCAGGUAUUUGAAUGAUUGUUUGGUUGCUGAAAAUUUGUAUAUCAACAGUUGAUUGUUGACUUCUCUUGUUUAUGAUGAUUGGAAUUGGAUAGGUGUUCUUGGGGCACAGUGGAGGUUGCGAUACAGAUGGAAAUGAGCUACCUCGUCUUGUUUACGUGUCCCGUGAAAAACGUCCUGGGUUUCAACAUCACAAGAAAGCCGGUGCCAUGAAUGCUUUGGUAUGGAUCUCUUAAAAAAACAUGGAAAUUUUUUGUGUUUAUUGGUUGUUUAUGGAUGCGAUGCAAUUUGGUGUUACAGAUUAGGGUUUCGGCGGUUUUGACGAAUGGCGCGUACCUUUUGAACGUCGAUUGUGAUCACUACUUCAACAACAGCAAAGCUCUAAAAGAAGCCAUGUGUUUCAUGAUGGAUCCUGCCUAUGGAAAGAAGACAUGCUAUGUUCAAUUCCCACAGAGAUUCGACGGGAUUGAUUUACACGAUCGAUAUGCUAAUCGCAAUAUCGUCUUCUUCGAUGUGCUUUUCUGAACUUUACAGAGUCAAACUUAAAAAAAAAAAUUCAAAUUCAAAUUCCGAUCUUGUUGGGAUUUCAAAAAUCAAAAAUUGACAUUUCUAUAUAUAUAUAUUUUGUACAGAUUAACUUGAAAGGGCUGGAUGGGAUUCAGGGGCCGGUUUACGUGGGAACUGGUUGCUGUUUCAAUCGACGAGCUCUGUAUGGAUACGACCCUGUUUUAACAGAGGCUGAUUUAGAACCAAAUAUCAUUGUGAAAAGCUGUUGUGGUUCACGAAAGAAGUCGAGAAACGUUAACAAGAAGUACGUGGAUAAAAAAGCAGUGAUGAAAAGAACGGAAUCCAACACUCCAAUUUUAAACAUGGAUGAUAUCGAUGAGGGUGUUGAAGGUUUGAUUUUGAGUCUUUCACUUUAGUUUGUGGGUCCAGUGAAUCAUUAAUGUUGACUAAAUUCUUUUGUUUUUGAAAGGGUAUGAUGAAGAUAGAUCGUUACUAAUAUCGCAAAAGAGCUUAGAGAAGCGAUUUGGUCAAUCUCCUGUAUUUGUUGCUGCAACUUUCAUGGAGAUGGGAGGAAUUCCCCCCACUACCAAUCCAGCUACCCUUUUGAAGGAAGCAAUACAUGUUAUUAGCUGUGGUUAUGAGGAUAAAACCGAGUGGGGUAAAGAGGUAAUUUUACCCUUCUAGCUUCCGAUUCUUGUUAUACAUGGUCAUCGGAAAAACAAUAAUCUUCAUGUUAUUUUGUUUUGUGUACAAAUGCAAGCAGAUUGGAUGGAUUUAUGGGUCUGUGACAGAAGAUAUUUUAACUGGAUUCAAGAUGCACACAAGAGGAUGGAUCUCAAUAUAUUGCAUGCCACAACGUCCGGCUUUCAAGGGUUCUGCUCCGAUCAAUCUUUCCGAUCGUCUGAACCAGGUCCUCCGGUGGGCUUUAGGUUCAAUCGAGAUUUUACUCAGUAGACAUUGCCCCAUCUGGUAUGGGUAUAAUGGUAAAUUAAAACUCCUGGAGAGGCUCGCAUACAUAAACACCAUCGUCUAUCCCCUCACCUCCAUCCCUCUUCUAGCCUACUGUGUACUUCCGGCCGUCUGCCUUCUCACCGGAAAAUUCAUCAUCCCCGAGGUACGUUAAUCAUGCUUUAUGAGUUGUACGAUAUGCAUGAAUGUUUGUACAUGUUGAAAAUUGGGGGUUUUGCAACAGAUAAGCAACUAUGCUAGUAUGUGGUUUAUUCUUCUCUUUAUCUCCAUCGCUGCAACCGGAAUCUUGGAGCUCCGGUGGAGUGGCGUGAGUAUUGAAGACUGGUGGAGAAACGAACAGUUUUGGGUGAUAGGAGGCACGUCCGCUCAUCUAUUCGCCGUCUUCCAAGGUCUUCUCAAAGUUCUCGCCGGAAUCGACACCAAUUUCACCGUCACAUCCAAGGCAAACGACGAAGACGGUGAUUUUGCAGAACUCUAUAUAUUCAAAUGGACGGCGCUCCUCAUCCCACCCACCAGUGUUCUGAUCGUAAACCUAAUCGGCAUAGUUUCCGGCGUUUCAUCUGCAAUCAACAGCGGUUACCAGUCGUGGGGCCCACUUUUUGGGAAACUGUUUUUUGCAAUCUGGGUUAUCGUCCAUUUAUACCCGUUUCUCAAAGGUCUGUUGGGUCGGCAAAAUCGAACCCCCACCAUUGUUAUCGUGUGGUCGAUUCUGCUUGCUUCGAUUUUCUCCCUUUUGUGGGUUCGUAUCGACCCCUUUACCACAGACGAUACUCUUGAUGCAGUUAAAGGACAAUGCGGGAUCGAUUGUUAGGUAUAUAUAUAUAAAGUUUCUGAUUUGCAAAUUUGUGUAAGCCGUGAUGUGAUGCGAUGUGAUGUGUACGAAUGAUAUAAUUAUUUGAUUUAUUGUUGUUAUCCCACGAAUUCAAUGAAAAAUUUAAGUAUAACCUUAUCUUAAUAUGUCGGUUCAUUACAUUCAAUUAAGUUGAGUUGUAUGCAAAUUUCUUGUUAUUAUACAGUAUAUUACAAAAUUCAAACACUAUCUUCUUCAUAUUUAAUUUCAUGAAUUUAGUCUUCAACAAGUACAUAUAUAUAAAACAAAACAUGAAAUUCCAUACACACCAAGGUUCAUGUCAGAUCCUGAAACAAAAGAUUAAAGAAAAUAAAGUUAGAUGGUUGUAAAUUGUAACCUAAUGAAAUAUAAGAAAAGUUGGGGUUUUACUUACUCAAUAUAUUCAACGUUGAUUUUCUCCCUUUGAGACUUGGAAAUGGCAGAAAAAGCAUCAUUUGACAAAACAAUAGUCGAAGGACACGGCCUUUUGGAACAAAAAUCUACCACCUUAACAUCAAUGGUACCAUCUCUACAUGGUUUAUUAUUUCCACUCAAACACUUGAGUCUGUAUCGCCUACCACAUGCUGCACCGUUAUCCCAUAGUCCUUCGCUCACUGACACAAAUAAGUUCCCCAAUGGGAAUUGAUCUGCUCGGUUGCCAUUGCACCUUGUGGCUACAUUAAAAAUACAUAUAAAAAAAAAUACUUCAAUUUAACUAUUAUUUAUUUAUUUAUUUACAAUGUCAAAAACAUAAUAAUUAGAAUCAUAUUUAAACUUACGUGUAUAAGGAGGCUCAUAGGAUGAGGCAGUGCCAAUUUCACUCAAACCACACUUGAUGUUAUUGAAGAUUAACAAUAAAAAUAAAUUCACAAUCACUCCAAUUCCCAUCGCUACAAAUUCCCUUUUCUUUUUUCUCUCUCUCUGUCAAAUACUAUGGUAGUAAGAUGCACCCCCUUGGAUUAUAUAUAGAUAUCGUAUGGAUUUAUUUAAAAGAUAUAGGUAUAGUUUGAGAUAUAUUGUCACGUGUUUUUUAAUAGAAAUGUGCUUAGCAUGUAUAUAGAAUGAAUGAAAAGUUGGUGAUCAAAUUGGAUAAACUAUAGAUGUUUAAUGUGAUAUAUAUCUACCUUUGCGCAUGAAAAAUGGAUUUAAUAGGUUUUGGUCAAUUGUGAUAUAAAGUUCUUGAUGCCUACCACUAAUUAGUUUAAGGAAAGAUGGUUUCUAACGUAAACAUAAAACAACUUUUCUAUCGUCUCUUUUAAACAGAAAAAAUAGUCAAUUUUGACAAUGGCACAAAAAGGCAAUGGAAAAGCAUAUGUAAGGAUUAUUAGAUAAAACGAUAGUGUUUUAAUGGAGAAAAAUUAUAUUUUCGGUGAAUUUUUUUUAGUUGAUAAACCCAUUGUUGGUGUCGAAUCUAUGAAAUUAUUUUGGCUUAUACGUCGGCUGACCGAUAUGAUUACCAAAGAAAGGUGCAUCCAGUACAAUCACCACUAACUAAAACCAAUGGCUCUAAACUGUUCGCAAUUUUUUAAGGAAGGGAAAUUCAUAUUUGAAUUCGUCACUACAAAGUGUUACAUGAUUCGUUAUUAAUAAAUAUUUUAUAUUACCUUUUAUCAUAUAAAUAAACAAUCCAAAUUUUAUUUUUAGAUGCAUAUUUCACAAAGCUUUUGUGUUUUUUUCGGUUCAAGUUUGUGUUAAAGUAAUUCAAUAUAGAUGGAGAAUGUCGUUCAAUAAAAGUAGUUUGUGUUAAAGUAAUUCUAUACAGAUGGAAAAUGAUGUUCAAUAAAAGUUUAGAAUAUCAGAUAAUCAAAAUUAGUUUGUCGAUAAGAUUUAUUAUUUUAAAAGAUGGGAUAUAUAUACUAAACUCUCAAUAUUUUUAACGAUUCAACAAAAAAGUCUUAAAUUUUAUUUUUUUAGAGUAAAAUCCUAACUAGCGGCAGUUUUUGACAUGUUUACCAUUUUUUGCCAGUUAGCCAGUAAUUAUGGUUUUACUAUAAAAAAAUAAAAUUUAUGACUUUCUUUUUCAAAUCGUGAAUUAAGACAUUACUGUAAAAAAAAAUUAAAGUUUAGGACUUUCUUAUCAAAUCGUUAAAAAUAUAGGGACUUUAGUGUAUAUAUCCAUUUUUUUGUUAGAAAUUUAAUGUCAUUAUAAUCUUUAAGUAUAAGAGUUAUUGAAAUCUGACCAAUAUGCUCUGGUCAACUAGAUUCUAUUAAAAUCAUUAACGUUUGAUUCUUGUUAAAUAGUUUUUUUUUAAUCUCAACAAAUCGACAUUGAAAAAAAUAAAGAUAAUCAAGAAAGAAAGAACCACGAUUGUGUUGAAUUUUUGCAUAAUGAUAAUCAAGAAAGAAAGAACCAGUAUCGUGUUGAGUUUUUUGCAAUCCUAAAAAUGGAGAAUUAAGAAACCGGAAAAGAAGAAAUUGUCCUUCUUACACAUUCUCCACAUUCACACAUUUUUUACCGGACAUGUGUUGUUUGUGUUUGUUGAAUUUGUUCCUCUUUUCAGUUCAAGAUUUGACGGCGAACCAAGAAAAAAGUUUUACAAGUCUUCUUACCCUCUAUCGUUCUCUCUUUUGCAUCAGUUUCCCAGAUUGUGAUCGUAGCAAAGUAAGAUGAUGAUGGUAAGAAAAAACAAUGGUGUUGCAAUAAAAAUCACAAUUAAAAGUUCUUGGGAUAGGAAUUAGGUCUCAUGAGACUGAUAAAAUUAUUUGUUUCUAGGGAAACCAAACCUAUACACUAAAGUCUCAAUAUUUUUAACGAUUUAACAAAAAAGUCAUAAACUUUAUUUUUUUGACAGUAAAACCCUAAUUACCGGCUAACCGGCAAAAAAGAGUAAAUGUUUCAAAAACUGUCGAUAAUUAGGAUUUUACUGUCAAUUGAUUUUAAUAUUUUCAUGCAAAAGACAACUGUAUUACGAAAGAAAUAACUGUUAACCGUAACUACAAUAAGGUAUUAAAGUUAUAGAAGUUUCAAUCCUAAUAACGCAUAAUUUUCACUUUUGGUUUAAUAUGUUUAUAUUAUUUAUCUAAAAAACAAAAUCAUAAUAAAUAUAUUUUGAUUAAAUGUCACAGAAAAACCACGCCCAUGUCAAUUUUGAUUGUUACAAAAUGACAAUUUUUUUGAAAAGAGAUAUCAUACCGUAUUAAUAAGGUGGUGUUUGUUUUUUUUUCAAAAGCUCUUCUAGACCUUUUAUGUCUGCAUCGCGUAGACGACCCACAAACUUUUAGUCCUAUAGACUGUUUGUUUUUUAGAAGACCGUACGCAUAAAAAAAUCUGUCCAUCCUCUUCUUGACGUAGAUGUGAACAUAUGUCUUCUAGUCUCUUUCUUAAUCUUUCCACUAAUCUUAAGAGACAAUAAAAAAGCGCAAAAAGAAUAAAAAAAUGAAAAAAAAAACCUAUCAAACCUCAUUCGUGCACCUUUUUUUUUAAUUCAUUUGCCAUGUAAACACUUUGUAAAUAUAUUAUUUUAAUGAUUUUAGCUUUAUAAACUUUAUUUGGUCAAAUAAUUUUUUGGUAUUCAUAUUUUAAAAAACUUUAUGCAUAUUUAUCCGAUGACUUUUUAUAACAGUAAUUAAAAAAGUUAAAUAUACUACAAAACUUAUGAAAGUAUUUUACGAACGUGUUUUUUUUCUUCAUAAAAUGGACAAUUAAUUUGUUAUAUAUAUAUAUAUAUGCUUAUUAUAUGAUAACUAGGCUCGUGCGUGUGAACAAGUCUCCGUUUGCCACCUAGCACGGUAUCUNNNNNNNNNNNNNNNNNNNNNNNNNNNNNNNNNNNNNNNNNNNNNNNNNNNNNNNNNNNNNNNNNNNNNNNNNNNNNNNNNNNNNNNNNNNNNNNNNNNNNNNNNNNNNNNNNNNNAUAUAUAUAUAUAUAUUGAAAAUAAGGUGGUUGUAUUAUUAAAUUACAAUGUUUUUAUAUAAGAAAUAUUGAAAAAGUCUUUUAAAUUAAAAAAAAAAUCAAUUUAUUUAGGUUUUAAUUUAUUUUAGCAGUUUGUAGAUUUUAAAAAACAAACAGUCUUCUUGCAGACUGCAGACGUUUGGUCCAUAUCUUCUACUGCAGAUGUCGUCCGCAGACUGCAGACAUUUUGCUUCUGAAAAACAAACACCAUCUAAGUUUCAAACGCAUAAACAUUUAUUAACAAAAGACAUGUAAACGUGGAUUAUGAACUAAUGACAUAGAUAUACGAUAAGUACUAUAAAGAGGAAAAAGCAUAGUUAAGAUUGACCCAAAUUGUAAUGAUUAUAGUCUUGCUAAUGUAAAUAUUUAAUUAGUUUUUCUUGAUAAUCAUGAUAAAUGAUACUUUUUGACUCAUGAGUGAUGAAUAAACAAUAGUAUAUAUAGAUUUACUAAGACGAAAAAAGACAUGAGUUUUAAUGAUAGAAUAUUAUUGAAAAAAUAAUAAAGAAUAUGAUCAACUUUAAAUUAGUGCCCGGAUAAAAUCGAAGUUUUAGAAAGUGCUGAUUAGUGGCGAUCCUUCAUUUUUUUAUAACUUUAUUUCAAAUUAAUGGUAAUCAUGUAUAAUAAUUAAUAAACUUACAAUACGCUAAUAUACAUUACAAUCAUUUUCAUCCUAUGUGAAAAUAAUUUUUGACAUAUUAUUCGUUUUCAAAUUAUAUAGAUGCAUAGGCAAUAAUAUGUCUUUUAUGUGAAAUAAUGUGUGUUUUUUUUAUGUGAAAACAUGUUUUUUAUAUAUAAAAAUAUAUUUUCACAUAAAAAAAACCUGUUAUGCAAAAAACCUUUUGGACCAAAUUUAUAUAGAAACAUAUUUUUCACAUAUAAAAACCUUUUUAUAACAAAAAUGUUUUGUAAAAAAGGUUUUUAGUAUAAAUAUGAUUUUAUAAAGCAAAAAUAACAUAUUUCGAAACAAAAUUUUGGAAAAAUAUAUGUAAAAAAAACAAAAUUUAAGAUGAAAUUGUAACAAAAUUUUAAAAUAGGGACAAAAAUAUAAAAAUUGGACCAAAUUUAUAACAAAAUUUAAAAUCUGAGAAAAAAAUGUAAAUUUUAAAACUGGGAUGACCUUAUAGCCGGGAAAAAUGAUGAAAAUGAAUAUAUUUACCUGUAUUCGUAUCUUAAUUAAAAAAAUAAUAAUUUAAAUACUUAAUUGAAUAUAAGGUUAAAAAUAUAAACACUUUAUAGAUUUUCCUAUACUAAAUACUAUAGCAAAAUAUGUGGAAUUUGGUAUUUAGUAACUUUGGUCUCACUUUUGUUAAAUUUCUAUUUUCUAUCAUUUUACUUUUUGAAAAUUCGUUUUUACCUCUCGAUUUUUCUACUUAUUAACUUUGGUCCAUCACUUUUGUUAAGUUCUCAAAUUUUCAUCCUUUUUACUUUUGAAAUUGUUGCUUUUACCCCCUUUAACUUUCAACUUUCUAGAUACUCAACUCACUCAGCAUGAAGUAUAAGAAAAAAGAGAAGAGAGAGAGAGAGAGAGAGAGAGGAAGCAGCGGGCUGAAGAACCCACAUGAGACGUCUUCUGGCGGUAACCACCAAGGCGUGGAUUUGUUACCCUAGCCGUCGCACGACUCCGUGCACCCUUGGAGAGUAAUCAGUGUUAAAACACUAAGUUGCUUGAAAUAAGGAAUUUGAAGUUAAAUUGAAAAUUUAAAUGUAGAUACGAAAACACAUCAUCUUGCUAACUUGACAACUUAACGCCAUCUUAAGUGGAUACCAUAGAAUGACCCACGAGUGGCGAAUUUAAAAAAAGAAUCACAUGGUUCCUAAUUAAGUGAAGCCAAUAAAAAAAAUCAACAAUACUUUUGGAGUCGGGUCAGGUCGGCUCAUGUACCUUAAAAGAACUGAACAAGUUCAAUCGGCUCAUGUACCUUGUAACGACCCGUCUCUGGUAUGUUGUUUCCAUGUUAUUUAUUUAGAAGUUUUCAAGAGGGACUCGGGGAGUCUAUAGCCCGACUCGUCGAGUAGAGACGGGAUUUCGAGCACGUGUAAGUCGCCGACUCAACGAGUCCAUAUUCGAGACUCGGCGAGUCCGCCUGCUAGGAAGAAACCCUAAAUCCCCGGGUUUGCUCACUAUUUAAGCAAUGUUAUGUGCCCCAAACUCGCCUCCUUCACCCUCAGAGAGCUUGAGAGAAACCCUAAACCAUUCCUUGUAUGACUAAAGUGUUUUGUGUGGAUUCUUGAAGGAAAAAGAAGAAAGGACCCAAAAAGAGGAAGUGUAGAGCAAAGAUCCAAGGCCAAAGUCAGAGUUCAUUGAGGUAUGUCUCGGAAUUAUUCUGUUUUGUGCUUAAAACCUCCAUUAGAACACCUCUAAGGCUAGUUUAAUGUAUUUUCCAAGCUUUAUAGUUGUAUGGAUGCCUUGUUGGGUCGAGAUAUCCCUAGAUCUGUUCAUUUAGGAGUUUUAGAGCCCUGAUCUAGUGCCUUUUCGAAGUUUCUUUGCUUGAGAACCCUAGAUCUAGCCUUUAUUAUGCUUUUUGAGCCUUUUAAUCUUCAUGGGUGCAUAUGGGCACGUAAAGAUAGAAUCUUUACGUGUUAAUCGAGCUUAGGGAGCCCAGAUCUAUAAGUUUUAUGCGUUGGAUUCAAGCAGAAUCGAGUUUAUAGUAGCUGCAUGCAUGCGACUCGGCGAGUCGUUCUUCCGACUCGGUGAGUCGAGUCGUGAGUCCCCGAUUUUUCCUCUUUUGAGUAAUGCCGAGUGGGGACCAGUGAGUAGUAGAGUGGACUUAGUGAGCUGGAGGUCAGACUCAGUAAUGGAGGGACUCGACGAGUUGUUCAUACAACUCGGCGAGUCCAAGGCAAUCUUCUUAGCUCAAGAACAACUCGUCGAGUUGUUCAUACGACUCGGCGAGUCGGAUGCAGAUAGCUUGAGUUCUAGAAUCGAAAGGAAACUCGUCGAGUUUAUGCCAUACUCGACGAGUAGCAGCGAGUAGGGUUGAGAAGUGAGAAUAGGGACUAGGCGAGUUGGCGGCCCAACUCGGCGAGUCAGGUCAACUGUAGGUUGACUUUGACCAGGAGAGUUGACUUUGACCAGGGGUAAAAGAAUCAUUUUACCCCAAUACAGUGAUUAGUAUUUGAUUGAGUGUGUUUAUGGAAUUGUAGCCGGAGAGAUACCAGAGCAGCAGCAGAUAGCUUCCAGAGCCAUACAUUCAGCAGCCAGUUUACGAGGUGAGUUUCCUACCAGUAGGAACGGGUCUACGACAACAAUGCCGGCCCGUUUAGCUAGCAGUUAGUUCCGGACUUCGGUCCGAAGCAGUAGUUCAAGGUGCUUGAUGUUGUGUUUCGGGCAUGUCUAUGUGUUAUGUUAGCAGAUACGUGUUUAUGUUAUGCUAUGUUCAGACAGUUCCGGAUUUCGGUCCGAUGCAGCUAGUUCCGGACUCCGGUCCGAUGCAGGGGACAAGGUCCCAGUCAGUUCCGGAUUUCGGUCCGAUGCAGACAGUUUCGGACUUCGGUCCGAUGCAGUCAAUUCCAGACUUCGGUCCGAUGCAGUGGGCAAGGCCCAGUAUGUGCUUUAUUUGUUAUUGUGUGGUAUGCGGUAGUUUAGGGGAGCUCACUAAGCUUCGUGCUUACAGUUUCAGUUUUGGUUUCAGGUACUUCCGCAAGUAAAGGGAAGAACUCGGGAUGAUGCAUCGCACACACCACAACUUCAGUUUUUGUCGUGGGAGUUGAUUCAGUUUCUUAGAUAUGUUUUGAUACUGUUGUGACACAUUUUUUCUCACAGUAUUUUAUUAUGUGAUACUCAGUUUUAUGAUCUUUGUUAUAAUAUAAAUGAAAUUAUCGGGUCGUAUUUUUGGGAUGUUUCAAGUACCUUGUGCCACCGAUUAAAAAAAUUUUAAAAACCGAUUGAAAUAUAACUGAAAAAGACAUACAGCUUAACGAAAAACUAGUUGAUUAUUAGUCCAUUGAUAAAGCGGCGAACGCAGAGUGAGAGUCUUUGGCAUGUGGGCUUUCAUUUUAUUAGAACAACUUGUUUAUUUAUUAAUAUUUUGAGAGUGCCGAUUAAGAGUAGUUAACUUUUUAUUAUCAAUCUCAUAAUUUAAAAUAACAAAUUGUCCCUAAUAACUUAUAUUUUUCUCUUUUUAAAGUGGUUUUUUUUUUUAAAAAUAAAAAUAAAAAUAAACUCAAUGUAGGUUCUCUAUUUUUUUAAGACUAAAUUACACAGAUGGUCCCUGUGGUUGGCACGAGAGACCAAAGAUAGUCCUUAUGAGGAAUUUUGGACUUGUAUGGUCCCCGUGGUUCCAAAUUGUUGCACGAAGAGUCCUUAUGACAUACUCCGUUUAAUUGUUGUCGUUUAUUUAAAUCACGUAACCCUCACACGAGGGUAUUUUGGUCUUUUGCUUAUCCCUUCUCUCUCUCAUAUCUUUAUAUGAUCUGCAAAAGAUUUCCCUUCCCUAUAAAAAUUAAACCCCCAUCACUUCCUUCAUUAUUUUUCGUCUCCUCUAUUCUCUCUUCUCUCUUCUCUCUGCUGUGUCUUUCUAAGAAACUUUGCUUAAGAAUGGUAAAUUGUUUUUGUGGAACGCAAGCGGUGAUAGUGACAUCAUGGAUGGAUCUCAACCCAGGUUGUAUGUUUUGGAAAUGUCCUAGCAGUUGCGGUUUCAUUGCCUGGUUUGAUGAGCCGAUGUGUCGAAGGGUUGUGGCUGUCAUUCCAGGUUUGCUAAGAUCCAUGAACAAGCUUCAAGAAUCUCUGCUGCAAGCAAGUUUUGAAGCAAAAAAAGUGAAGAUGAUGCUAGUUUUUAGUUGGGUUUUCUUUUUCAUGUAUGUGUAUAAAAGAUGCUAAUAGUAUUAGUCUGGAGAUGAUGGUUCUUUUGCUUGUGGGUAGAUGAUGGUUCUUUUGCUUGUGGUUAGAAUCAGAUAAUAGUAUUAAUUUGAAGAUGAUUUCGUUUUGUUUGUUUGUGAUGCAAGAAAUGUUCGUAUGUAUGAAUGGAAUGCUUUUUAUUUGGGAAACUUUUAGUCUGCUACCAUUGUAAAAUAUUGGUCAGGAACUUAAUGAGUGUAAAAUAUUGGUCUGCAACUUAAUGAACCGUGCAGAUCCAUUAAAGUAUAAAAUAUGAAAGUGAAAGGUUUUUGUAGGCUUUAGACCAUUGUAGAGCCAUAACAACAUUAGAAAUGUUCAAAAAUAAAAUGCAAACUUUUGCAUAGUCAUAAAGUUCAUUACAUAACCUUAAAGUGCAAAGUCAUAAUACCAAAAAAAUAUCAAAAGAGCUUGCAGACUAAUGUAUCAUAACCAAAAGAACCAUCUUAGUCUAGCACCCUGUGUGAACCAUAAUACCAACAAAAGAUAAAGACACACAAUAACCAACUUAGUCUGACCUUUCUAAGGUACCAAAACAAACAACACAAAAGACCUUUCUAAGGUUCCAUAACAAACAACACAAAAGACAACAAAUCAAACUUUUUCCUUCAUUUUGGAUUUAUCCUUAAGUUUGGUUUUCUCCUUCAUUUUGGGUUUCUCCUUUUUUCCAUCUCCCUGCUUCUUUGCCUUGCUAAGCUUCUUGCCCCCUGCCACCACAUUUCUAACUUCAGUUUGUCCCCCUUGUCCCUUGCAACUCCUAGAGUUGUGACCCUUGUUAUUGCAUUUGCUACAAGUAACUGUAAGGAACUUCUUGGUCAAACUUUUACCUUGAUUAUUUGGUUCUUCAGUUUGAGCUCUCUUUCUCUUCUUUUUUGGUCUCCCCACCUGCAUAAUUAAUAAAUUAUAAAACAGUAUAAACGUAUACUAACUUGUAAAUUGAAAAUUAUUUACCUGUUUAGUAUGCUUAGGAGGUGUUAGUGUUAUGGGGAAAUCUGACUUUGGCCACAUACUUCUUCCAUUGAUAGGUUGAACUUUGUACUUGUACAUUUCAUUCCAUGUGCUUAACCUAUAACAUGGAUGUACCCACUCCUCAAGAGGUGGGACAUUUUUUCCCAGUGCCUGCAACUACAAUUCCUGUCCCUCCAAUUAACCACAAAUUGUUCCCCCAUUGUCCCAGUAACUUGAGUCUUAUCAGCACCAUUAAAUAUGCAAGUGUAUUGAGAAGCAUCUUUCUUAACUCCAUCUAAAAGUUUUGUGGCUGGGGGGGGGAGAGGGGCNUUAUCUAUCACAUUUUGCACAAUACAAAUUCGUUUCAUUAAGUAUUCCCUAAUAUAUUCUAAACAUGUAAUUAUAGGUUUGUCUCGAGCAUCUAACAACUUUGAGAUGAAAACUUCACAUAAAUUAUUCAACAAAAUAUCUGUAUGUGCUCUUCCUGUACAAUGCAACAAAAUAUCUUAUAAGAAUCUGUCAAAGUGUAAAUCUUCCUUGAAUCUGUCAAAGUGUCUAACUGUUGUUGCUGUUGCACAUUCCCAUAAAUGAUCUCUGUGCUCCUUCCCCCUCCAUUGUAGCUUCAUGUUUUCGUGAAUAUGUCUUAAACAGAACCUGUGUUCAGCGCUAGGUAAUAGGUUGGCAAUGGCAGAUAAAAUCCCCUAAUUAACAAGUAACAAAAAUGUUAUUUUCUAAAUGUAGUAGACAAAAUUACAAAGAUGUCAUGAACAAGUAUCAUAAGAAGAUUAACCUUUUGCCUGUCAGAAAUAAAUGUGAAGUUUGAAUUUGUAGAGAGCUCCAAAUCUUCACCUAGACACUCUAGAAACCAACUCCAUGAGCUUUUGUUCUCGGCUUCAACUAUGGCAUAUGCUAGUGGGUAGAUCCGAUUAUUGGAAUCAAGACCCACAACAGUGAGAACCUAUCCAGUGUAAGGUCCCUUCAUGAAAGCCCCAUCGAAACCUAAAAAAUCUCUUAAACCUGCCUUAAAACCCAGUUUUAAUGCACCUAAACAGACAUAAAUUCUCUUAAACAUCCUAGUUUCCAAGUCUGCAUUUGGUUCACUGUAUACAUCAAUCUUCACAAUUGUUCCUGGGUUGCACUGUUGUAAUUCUAAUACGUAAUCCCUGAGAAGGCUGUAUUGCUUUUGAUAAUCUCCAUAAACAUGUUUCUGUGCAAGUUGUUUAGCCCUAAAGACCUUCAUUCUUGACAUCCCCACCUCGUAUAUCUUUUGUAACUCUACACACAAAGCUUUGACUGGGAUAGUUGGGUUUCCUUCCACUUCUUGAAGAAUGAUGGUUGUAAGAAACUUAGGCCUCAUUUGAUAGUUGCCGAUUGAGAAAGUGCUGACUGAGAAAGGUCUGUCUGGGUAAGAAAUCCUGAUUGGGUAAGAAAUCCUGUUGUUUGAUUGUACAUCUGACUGAAUGUGCUGAGUGAUGAAAAAUGACCAUUUUACCCUGCUGUUAUAUAUAUAUAUUGAUGGAUUAAAUUGCUGAAUAAUUAUAAAAACAUACAUAUUGUCAUACAAAAUGUAAAUUACACACAAAUAAAAAAUGUCAUACAAAAUGUAAAUUAAACAUAAAUCAUUUAAUAUCCAAAUAAAAACAUAAUGAAAUUUAAAAUAACAUAAUAAUUUAAUGUAAAGUAGGUGAAAGUAGUCGAUUUGCAAUCUGAUCACGCAAAACACGCAUAUAUUCAACGGCUUCUGGACCCCAUUCUAUGCCUUGUAUGUUUUCUCUAUCAAUUCCCCCACCUUGGACGUCAGGAGUAACCAUAGUGUCCUCCUCAAAAUUUCUAAACAAGUCAUCUUCUAUAUUGUAUUUCCUUAUAAAAUUAUGGACCGCGACACAAGCAAUGACUAUGUCUCUUUGCACUGUAAAAGGAUAAGGAGCCAUUUGUUUUAAGAUUGGGAAUCUCGCCUUCAAUACACCAUAAGCACGCUCAAUAACAUUUCUAAGUUGUGCAUGAGCAUGAUUGAACCUUUCUUCUCUAGUUAAAGGUCUGCCUCUUCGAAAAUCGGCUAACCAAUACCUAGUAUUGCGGUAUGGAGCCAUAAACCCACGAGUGUUUGUAUAUGCGGCAUCACAAAGGUAAUAUUUAUCUGCAAACGAAUGUGACAUAUUAUAUAAUGACACAUAUUAUAUAAAGAAGAUAGAUAAUAAAAAUUAUAUAAAGAUUACAAACCUGGUGGAGGAAAUGGAAAUCCAGAAGUCGAAUUGAAUGCAACUUCUUUCAAAACUCUUGAAUCAUGUGCUAUACCCUCCCAUCCAGCCCAAACAAAGGUGAAUAUCAUAUCAAAAUCACAAAUUCCUAUUACAUUUUGAAAACAUUCUCCUUUUCCUCUUCCUCAAUAACGAGUUUGUUGAUCAACAGGUACAACCGCACGUACAAGAGUUCCAUCUAAUGCACCAAUUGCUCCGGAAAAAAUAUUUUUUAACCGUCUAUGUCGUUCUGAGUUAUGUCUUGUUGGGUUAGGAGUUGUUGGUACUAUAAUUUCUUUUGCAAAACACAUCAUUGCUGUUAGGACCUCGUGAAAACAUUGAUGAAUCGUUUGUGUGGAGUGAUGAAAUCUUCCCUUAACCGCGCGAAAACGUUCAUUAUGUCCUAUAACAUGUAAGAAGAUAGCCAUCUUCUCUUCAAUGCUUAUUGUCCUACUAGCUUGCAACCAAUUUUUUUGGGUAAAAUGGUUGCAUAGUAAUGCAAAUGCCUCUUGUGUAAGACGCAUCAUAUCGAAACAUUGUGUAGGGUCUCCGUAUAUCAAAUCUUAUGUAUACGCAUACCCGCUUGAAUCGUUAUCUCUAAUUCUAAGAAUUCUGAUUAGUCUGCGCCGGUUUGACCUCAACCAAUAAAACACAAGUAAAAGAAAAGCUACAACUUCACCAUCAGAAACCAUACUUGAUCUAUUACAAACAAUUAGGUAAUAUGUUAAAGUAAAAAAAAAAUCAUGCACCAAAAAAAUUAGUAAACAUCAUUAAAAGUAACAAAAGUCGUAUAACAAACGUUGUAUAACAAAAUACUAGUAAACAUCAUCCAAAAAAGUCAUCAAACUAUAUAACAGUAAACCAAAAAGUCAUCAAACAUAGGAUCCAAAAAACUAGUAAACAUCAUCCAAAAAAAGUCAUCAAACAUAGGAUCCAAAAAACUAGUAAACAUCAUAAAAAAAACUAGUAUCCAAACUUUUCUACCCGCACCUAUCAAAGGUAACUAUACUUCCUACCCGCACCCAUCACCCACGACUCACAACUACUAUGCGAAAGUCGUAACCAAACUUUUCGAACAUCAGCACUUUCACCAAAUAGCAAAAGAGCGGUCUUGUGUCUUUCAUCUUCUUCUCCCCAUUCCAUUUUGUUCAAUUUCUCCAUACACGCAUCAACAUCCUUAUCCAUUUCACUUUUUUCAAUUCUUUCAUUUUUUUUCCACUAAUAACCUUACAAUCUUGACAAUCUCCUCUUCAACUUCUAAUGCCCUUGCAUCUCUUUUUUUUCCACCAACUCUUUUGUUUCCACCAACUUCCUUAUUUUUGAACGCCCCGAAGAUUCUUCACUUGCACCUACGUGUUGUGUUGAGGUUUCCAUUAGAACAUCAUCAUCAAAAUCAUGGGGACUAAACUCUUCUACAGGACAAGGGAGUGUAGAAGAUGGCCCCCAACUUUGAGAUCCGGUUGAUGUCAACCCUUCAAAUAGUUGGGUGCAAAGAUCAGGGAACAAUAGGGGUUUAGUUUUCAAUGACAACACGAACUUGUUCAACUGUUUACAAUUUUUAUAAAUAUUAGUAUAUGUUAUAAAAAUAAUCAUAAUAGUAUUGAUUAAAAAAAUAAAUUUAAUCAAAUAGUAUAUGUUAUAAAAAUAAUCAUAAUAGUAUUGAUUAAAAAAAUAUUACCUUCCCCUCUUCUUUCCAUUGUUCAUCGGUCAAAUUAAAUUUAUUUUUUAUAGGAUCAUAUAUAUUGCCGGUUUUGUUUUUGAGUUUCACCCAAGCAACAUACUUUGAUUUGUAGUAGUCAAAGUGGUUUCUCAUUUGCUUCUGAUCAACCUCUUUACCGUGUUCGUUUAUCAAUUUUUCGCGUAUUGUCUUCCAUGAACUUGCCUUAAGCCCAGAACCCUCACGACCAUUAGUGGUUAGUUCAUGGAUACAUGCAUCAAGAAAAGUUUUGUCCUCACUCUCGUUCCAAACCAACAUCCUAAAACAUUAAUAUUUAAAGUAAUUUAUCAUAGUUUUUAUCAAGUUAAAGAACAAUUUUAAACAUAAAGCAAUUUUCAACCAAGGAAGUUAACAUCAUCCUAAAUUAUGAUUUGAUAACUUAUACACAAACAAUUUCAGAUGUCACAAAACAUCAAUAUUCAAGCUAACAAUUUCACAAAAGAUAACAAGCUAACAAUUAAGGUCAACAAUAUCAAAGCUAUAAAAUUAGAAAGAAAAAAAAAACAGCCCAAUUUUUGAUUUUAUAGCUUAUACUUUUGAUACUAAUACAAGCUCAAUAAUUGGAAGACAUGUGAUGUUGCAUGCAUUCCCCCUCUCGCCCACUCUUCAAGGAACAAUUGGAUUAUUAAAAAAGUUAGGUUACCAUUAAUCUUAUAAUAAUUAUUUAUUAUUAAUUUUACUUUUGUACUUUACACAUAAAAACACAACNAAAACCAAAAAAAUAAAAAAAAAAAAAAAAAAAAAAAAACAGCCCAAUUUUUGAUUUACAAACCUACUUGUAUUUUCCAAUUCACAUUCAAUUUCAAUUCACAAGCUAUAAAAUCAAAAUUCAAAAAAAAAACCUUCCAAUUCACUUUCAAUUUCAAUUCAUAAGCUAUAAAAUAUGAACCGGAGAAAAAAACUUCCAAUGUGAAUUGGAGAAAAAAACUUCAAAUUCAGAAAAAAAAACAAAAAAACAAAAACAAAAAACAACUACCAAUUCACAUUCUAUUUUAGAAUUCAUAACAUUAGAAAAAAAAACCUUCAAUUUUCAGUUCUUAUACACAAAGAACUACAAAACAAAACAUAAACAAACUUCCAAUUCACAUAUAAUUUCGAAAUUCAUAUAUUAGAACAAACAAUUUCAGAUUUCAGUUCUUGUACACAAAGAACUACAAAAAAGAACAAAAAAAGCUUAUCAUAUGAACAUACAGGUUGAGAAUUCAUAAUAUUCUAACAUAUACUAAUUUGAUUUCAUAAAGAACUACAAAUUUCAUACCAUCAAAGCAUAAAUGGUAUCUGAUUUUGAAAAUUAUUAACAGAAAAAUUAUCUAACCUGUGUGAUGGAUCGAGAAGGCGUCACUGAUGGCGGUGGCGGAGGUCCGACGAGAUGGCACAGGUCCGACUGGUCGGACUGUUUGGCGUUCAAUGUUGUGGAGUUCUUCCUAGCGGCUGCUGUGCUUUUAGGUCACUAGAAGGGAAGCGAAUGGGGAAAGAAAUAAUAACGACGCAGGGGCAAGAUAAGGGCAAGAUUGUCUAAUUUCCAGUCAGCAACUGUUUAAAAACUGAUCCAGAAAGCGAUUUGGGUCAGCAGAUCUUACCGAGAAAGCUCAAAUCAAACACCAAAGGUCUGACCGAGUCAGCCCAAUUUGCUGACUCGACCCAGUCAGACAUUUAUCAAACACUCCCUUAGAAGUGCACUCUUUAAUAGACCUUGACUGCACACAUCUAUGCUCAUGAACCAAAGUUUUCACCAUCCAAUCGCUUUCUUCAUCAGAUCUAGAAAUUAAUACCACCCAAGGGCAUGUUGCUUUUUGUGAGCUGACUGUUUUAUCCUUGCAUUUGAUUCUACUUUUUGUCCAUGGCCCACCUGUCAUUUUCGGGACCACACCCCUGCAUUUUGCCCUAAUUCUUUUUUUUUUAUCAUUUUUUGAAAAGUAAAUGUUUCUCCUAGUUCGAAUUGAAUGCAUUUUAAUGUAGUCCUUCACUUCUGAUGAGGACUUAAAUAUUUGACCCAGAUGGAAUGCAGUUUCAUGUACUACUCCUGAUGAACAUGUGGUUGGUUUGUUUAACCUUCUCAUUAAUUUCUUCCUCUCAUCUUCUUCUACACCAGUUGAUUCAAAUAAUUGUGUAUCUAUCACCUCCAAAUCCUCAUCAACUGUGACAUCAGGUGCAUUGAAUGAUUGGUGGUUAUCUAGAUUUGGAAAAGAAUAAACACCACUGUGGAAGUCUUUCAUAUUCACUUCGACAUCCUCCACCAUAUUAAGUUCAUCCACUAAAAAGUCACUAUCGUCGCUUAUACUUCCAUCGGUACUAGUCUCAUCACUAAUAACAUCUCCAAUUUCUUCAUUUUCCCCCAUCUGUUGGUAAUCAUUAUGAUCCAUAUAAAAGAAAGGAUCAAAGUCUUCUGAAGGGACAACAUCUUGGGCUUUGUUAAGCUCCUCACUUGCAGGAUGAACUCGAACAUCUUUCACUACAUCUCUAUCAAAAUGUCCAAAAGGUACAACAGACCUAGAAAAGUCAUAGUUCUCAUUCAAGUCCAUUUUUCUACUACAUGAUCCUACCUUUGUACUUGUAAACUUUUUUCGAUUGAGUUCCGGAGAAAUAGGCUCAUUGAUUUCUUCCGAUACGACCUUAUUUGGAGAUAUAAAGUAUGCAUGGAGUCUAGUAGUUCCAUGUUCAGUAUACACCAUAAUCUCUUUAUGAUUAGCAACAUGCUUACUUAACAAAAGUACGUCUGAGUUGUUACCUAAAGGAAGUAACCCAUAAUCGAUUUCAAUCUCAGGAAUCAAGAAGUGGUAGUAGAUAGGCUCACCGUUGAUAUAACCUAUCUCCUUCAUCAUAUCGUCUAACUCAUGUACGGAAAACACGUCCAUGUCUACGUAGUCAACAUAGUCAAUACUCCCACCAACGUAACGUCUUCCUGGGUAUUUUGUGAACAUACCCCCAUGGUGAAUCUUGAAUGUGCAAAAACUACUUAACUCAACUGAAAAACAAAUAAAUAAUGAUAUGAGGAAAGAAUGAAGUCUCAAAAUUGAAUGUGCAUAAAUUACUUAACAAAAUUGAAAGUUGUUAACUGAUCACUCACCAUAAGCUUUGAUCAGGUCAGGAUUUUCUGAGAAUUUUGAACGGACAUUCCACAAAGUUAGAACGAUCGCAAAAGAUGAAAAUGAAAACCCUAGUUUCCGUUUGAUGUUUUGAAGUGAUGAAGAUGAAAAACCAGAGGAGAAAAGAAAGGGAUGAUUUCUUGGGGUAAUGUAAAUGGCAGCUAGAUGUAAGGAUCAUUUAUGAAUAUGAUCAUUUCGUGUAACAAAGCAAAAGACCAAAAUACCCUCGUGUGAGGGUCACGUGAUUUAGAUAAACGGAAACAAUUAAACGGAGUAUGUCAUAAGGACUAUUCGUGCAACAAUUUGGAACCAUAGGGACCAUACUCGUCCAAAAUUCCUCAUAAGGACUAUCUUUGGUCUCUUGUGCCAACCACAGGGACCAUCUGUGUAAUUUUGUCUUUUUUUAAAGAUAGUUCAUAAUUUUUCUAUUAUAUACAUUGUAAAUGAAAUUGAGAACUUAAGUAGGUCCUAGGACCUACCUAAGCACAUGGUGGAUACGCCCCUGUUACCCACACUAACCUCAUACACUUACAACACAAAUGAACUUGAACGGUCUAAGACCAAACCAAGAUAUAAUAUGAAAUGUGUAAGUAUAGUUUAAUAGAUGAAAGUGAGGUGUUGUUUGGGCUUGAAAAGUAGGGGUGAGCAUGGUGCGAUUUUUUGAGAAAACCGAACCGCAAACCGCAAGAUGCGGUUUCUAUAGGGUAAAACCGAUAGGUGUGGUUUUUGUUUCGGCGUGGUUUUACAUGCAUUUUCGGUGUCAUUCGAUGCGGUUUCGGUUUUUAACUGAAAAUAUGUGUUGGUGUGAUUUUUCAUACAUGUGUUGAUCUACCAAAGAAGUAAUAACCCCUAAAGAAGCUAGAGCAAGGCCUAAUUGAAAAUGAAGCCAAUUAUUAAUUGUGUCAUAAAGACCCUCAUGCCCACGUCUCAAUCGCCCUCUUGGAGGGAUAUGUGCAUCUAAAAGAUCUUUCAUACUGUGCCCAAUCCCAAAAUUAGUUCUAUACAUAUGCCCAACAAUAAGAAAAAGAAAUGCAAUAGCUAAAUAAUGAUGAGUCAUAUCAGCAUGUCCAAACCCGACUUUUCAGUUAACUUUCCUUUAUUUCCGGUACAGAUUCUCAUUUAAAUGUAUUUAACAUGCUUGUGAAAUAGUUAUAUGUUAUUCUUAUCAAAAUAUAGACUUCUUUAUGAUAUUACGAUUUUGAGAUUUGAAUUAUAUGUUUGAUGCAACAAGGGAUUUGGUUUUAUAAUCUCAAAUUCCAUUACUUAAUCAUUAUUGUUUAUACAGAUAGAGGCGGCUUUUGAUUCGAAUUGCAUUUUGCUUGUGAUAAGCAAAAGGAAAAUUGUUAAUGGUACGCACUUUGAUACAAAUGUCAAAUUUUAUAAAAAUAUAGCAAAACAUAAGGCAUGCACAGUGGCAAAAAGAACUGAAGAGGUCGAAGUUGAACAAAAUAUACUUUUAUUAAUAAGUAUUAUAAUAUAUUAAAUAUUGUCAGGUUUUUAUGGUGCUGUUUGGCAUUGUCCAAACCGCACCACACCGAAAAAUUACCAAUUAAGGUUGGAUUGGAAUGCAUAAUUAUCAAUUUAUCCUUAAUAAGUCAUAAAUCAACAAAAAUGGCCCAACAAUUUUCUUAAUCUUAAUUGUUGCCUUUGGAUUAGAAAUCAUCAACGAUCAAGAUUGGUUCUCACAAUUCUCUAAUCUCUACUUUUAUGUUGUUUUCAUUUGAACUCAACCCAAAAAUCUCACCAGUAAUCACCACACGAACAAAUCCCGUUCUUGAAAUGAUGAAACCUAUUUGUAUCCCGAAGAAUAAUUUCCCGCUCAACAAUCUUGGAAAUAAGCUUAGCAGCAAUAUGACAAUCCUCACAAACACGUAGAUUUUUAGUAAUCCGUAUAGGCGUAAAAGCUUUAGUAUUUAUAAUCACAAACACAAUAGCAAGCUUCUCACUAUGAACAGCAAGAUGAUUUCCUUUAUCUUCAUCUUCUAUAUCAUGAAGUGCAGAAUCCACUUCAGGAACAUACCCAAAAUCCCUCAUCUUCCCCACAAGUACUUCCAACUCUUGAUAAAUCUGUUUAGAUUGUGGAUGGGAUUGAUCUCCAGCAAGAAACGAAUGAACUUGAUUAUUAAGCUCAACAUUACUAACACCGGGCUCUUUUUUCACUCCUUUUGAUUUCAUUAUUGAACGAAUAUUUGUCACAUCUUUAAAUCUACCUGCUUUUGCGUAUAUAUUUGAUAAUAAAACAUAAUACCCUGCUUGUUCAGGGACCAAUUCAAAGAGAUGAUCUGCUGCUACAAGACCAAUUUCCAUGUUGGAAUGAACUUUACAAGCACUUAACAAAGCACCCCAGAUUCUAUCGUUUGGUUUUGUUUUCAUUUUCUUUAUAAAAUCAUAAGCUUCAUUGAUUCUUCCUGAUCUUCCUAGCAAAUCAACCAUGCACGCCAAGUGUUCGAGUCUUGGAAUGAUGUUAUACUCUUCGGUCAUCAAUUUGAAGAAAUGUUUUCCUUGGUUUAGUAAUCCGGCAUGGCUGCAGGCUGAUAGAACUGGAACGAAGGAAAUGGAAUCAGGGGCGAUUCCGGAAUUUUGCAUAUUUGAAAAGACUGUGAUAGCAGUUUCACCAUCUCCAGUCAUGCCAUAAGCAGAGACCAUGGAAGUCCAGGAGACGACAUCUCUUGUUGGCAUUUCAUCGAACACCUUGCGUGCUUCGUUUAAAGACCCACAUUUAGCAUACAUGUCAAUCAAGGCGUUCUCUACUGUUAGAUUAGGAAGAAGCCUUUUUGUUUUUACAUAUGAAUGAAUCUUUCUUCCUAGUAAUAAAGCUGAAAGAUCUCCACAAGCGGGUAGGAUGCUAGCAACUGUGAUUGAAUCCGGGUCGAUUCCGUAAUUCUCCAUUUGUUGAUAAAGAUUAACUGCAUCUUUAGGCAUCGAGUUGUUGACGUACACAGCUAUCAUGACAUUCCAAGAAAUUAAACUCUCUCGAGCGUGAUUCAUGAACAUUUCUUUCAUAAACAUCACGUUGGUAGAUGAAGUAGAAGUUGUUAAAGCAGGGGAAAGGCUGGCCAUGGUGCCUGCGUUGGGUUUUGAGGUAGAACAUUGCAUCAUUGUCUUACAAAUCUCCAAUGCAUCUUCAAACAUCCGGUUUUGGGCGUAGGCAGCAACCAUAGCAUUCCAGGAGACGAUAUCUCUACUAGGCAUUUCAUCAAACACCUGGCGUCCUUCCAGUAACCGGUUACAUUUUCCAUACAUUGUAAUCAAUCCAUUCCCUACAUAAAGAUUUGAAUGCAGACCCUUCUUGAGAACAGCAACAUGGGUUUGUAAUCCGACCCACAAAUUCUCAGACACGGAACAUGCUUUUAGAACUUGAGGAACUGUAAAAUGAUCAGGGUUAAUGUUGAACUUGAACAUGUUUCUGUACAUACGAAGUGCUUUUUCGUAGAAUUCAUUGUUUACGUAGCUUCUAAUCAUCACAUUGAAGAAGACUACAUCUUUUUGAGGAAAUUCAUCAAACAGUUGGCGGGUAACUGCGAUUUGGCGACAUUCAGAAUAAGCUUUCAUUAAUUUCAGAGCAAUAUGCGAUGCUGAGACGAGGUUUCCAUCAAUAAUUAACCUACAAUGUAUCUUUUUCAAUUGUUUGAUAUCUGGGCACUUGUCCAAGAUUUUGAUACACAAGUCUUCUGUGAUUAACAUGAUUGUUAAGGCGAGAUUUGAAUGAAUUUGAACUUAUAUUCCUUUCGCCAUGUUGUACCUGAGGGGCAAUCAAAUAGAAUGGACGAAGAUAACGAAGGUUUACUUGGUGGUGUUCACUUAAAAACAAGAAAUAUGAAGUUCUAAACGCUAUUUCUUGUUAAACAGAAAAUAUUUUGUCCAAUCUAAAAAUCCAAUUUUUGAGUAAGUUCAAGCUUAAGCUCAAAAAUAGUAAGCAAAACAUGUUUAAAAAAUAAAAGUUCGUUUGAAACUCUUUGGAUAGCUCGAGUAUAACAAUCAUCAUAAUUAUAGUCAAUAAAUCAGGCUCAAACAACCAAACUUGAUGUCCAGCCCUUGAUCAUCCAAUUGCCAACUGAAAUCAACUUAGUUUCCGGUUUUAGAAUCGCCCUAACAUUACAUAAGCACCAACUAGUUCCAAAAGUAGUUUUUAAUUCAAUGUCUCCCAUACCCGUGACUUCAAGGGUUUCCAUGUUACCCAACCUUACCAACUUAAGAUAAGUUCUUUACUUCAAUUACUAUAACAGAUCGAUGAGUCAUGUUCUAAUGACCUCUCGUCAUAUGAUGCAAUGCUUAGACUCGAGUCUUUUAAAGUCAAAUUCUAUAAUGAAAUAUACAUUCCUUCAAGUUUCUAAUGUGAUAUAAUCACAUUCUAGCAUGUAUCACUUCUAGCUACAAGCUUCUUACUUUAACAACAAUCACAAUACUUCUAUUGAUCGCUUUGAUUAUCUUUCAGUUCAAUCUUCUGGCUUAAGUCAGAUGCUACAUCGAUCUUGGUUCUCUGAACCACGUACAAUACUUAUCCUAGCUGUAAUCGAUUUGAUAUGACCACUAGGGUCGGAAUAACAAUCAUCUUCUUAGUCAUUACCGAAAUUAUGGUAAUGACACAUGAACAAAACAGAAUCAAUUACUAGCGUCUUGGUAACUCGUGACUUUCCCUGAUCCAAGUGCGAGUCGUGUGCUUCCAGUAGUAUAUGCCUCUACUACCUUUCACACCUACUCAUACUUGUCCCAAGUAUUGUCUUUCAGUUCUCCAAGUCACCAUAAAAGAAUUUCACAUAGUCAUUUAACACAUCGAAUAACAAAACUAAGGUUUAUAUUAUUUCUUGAAACGAUUACAUAGAUAUUCAAGUUCACCUUAUACCAUGCCUUUUAUAUUAGGCUACACCACAUGAUACUAUCUAUAUGGCUACUUUAUAUCUCGAUCUUCAGAUAUAUAUAGAUCCCUACUCCUAAUCCCUUGUAUCGUCACCUGCUUCAUCCAGGUUAGACUUCGAGAAUCUUCCUUUCUUAUCGAAUCUUGAGGAUCCCUCAAGCUUCUUCUUUUCUCAUGCCUUGUCUUAUUCCAGACCCUUUUUCCUAAAUUAGGUUUCCAUAUUCUUGGUUGCUCUAACGGUUGUCUUCAAAGUAGUUGCCAUUUUUACCAUUGCGCCAAAUUAUGCUGGCAAUCCGUUAGCAAAACUAUCUAUCUUGGAGAGUUCAGUAGCACCAAGUAGGGGAAUAACUUCAUCUGCUCGGUGAAUACGGUGACAUACUCAUCAACACUCAUCUUCCUUUUCUUCAAGUUCGAAACUCGUUGUUUAGGUCUAUCAGAUCUAUCUCUGAGCAGUAUUGCAUUUUCAACUGCUCCAUGAAUGCUUCCCACCUCAGGGCUUCUCCCCCAUGGCUUUGUAUCUGCCAAUAACUUCCACCAACUUAAAACUCUGGUCUUUAGUUGUCUGACUGUAAAGACGGUUUUCUGCUUGUUGCUGCAAUUGCAACUUUCAAAUGUCAUCUCUAUCUCGGAGAUCCAAUCCAUGAUCUCUACUGGCUUCGGGCUUCCAGAAAGACUUGGUGGUUUGGCACCUAAGAAGUUCUUAUACAUACGUUCAUCCUUAUCAAUCGCUUUUUUCGGGUCGUUCCUCCUUGCCACUCGGGGUUCAGCUUGACUCACUGUACGACUGUAAUUUCCCUCCUCCGACAAUUCUUCAUUCAGUUCGGGUUGCACGAUAGGCACAAUAGGUUCAUCCCUAUUAUCAAGAAACAUUUUUCUCAUCUCCUCCCUUUGUUCGGCCAUCAUAGCCCAAAUCAUUGCUUAGACUCUUGCCAUCGUGAUUGGCUCGGGUGCAGCUACUACCUCUGGUGCACAUUUAAUCACUCGUGGUUCAGGCUGUUAGUUUUCAUUAGCAUUUUCUAAUAUGUUGCGAGUUCUCACCAUUUCGAUCUAUACACUCUAGAGAUGUUCAGUGUACAGUGACGAGAAUUAAGAUAUGGAAAGCUUUAUUUACGACAGCCAUAUAAAUCUUCUUAUCACUCGUAAAAGUUAUAUACUAGUUCUAAUACCGUAAUUAAAUGUUUGGAAAUUUUGAGCAAAUGACGGUUCAUCAACAAUAGAGCGAAUCUCAUUUAGGAAUUCGUUGAUAGGUCGAUUUCCUUUAGGAUUUUUAGCAAGUUUGGAUUUUAAAGAGAUGAUUCUUGAGCAGGAGGUGCUGGCAUAGCUUGUGUUGAGAUGCUUUCAUGCUUCUUUUGUGGUAAAUACAGAGGUAAUGAUAGGUUGAAUGAAUUGCAUCUGAGCAUGAACCAAGAAUUGCAUCGAAUACUACAUGAUCUUGGCGAUAGCAAGUCGUGUAUUCAUGAUUAGGUUUGGAUUUGUCUUUGUCGAUAAUGAAUUUUGUGGUAGGAUCAGUCACCCAUGUGAUGUAAUCUUCCAGACCUAGUCCAAUAAAUGUGGACUGCACUUGUCGCCUCCAUACAUGGAAGUUGUUGGUGAGUAAUUUGGUAGGAAAGUGACUUGAGGCGGUGAUUUGUAUUUGGGAUGAUUGUGUCAUGGUGAUGUUGAUGAAAAGGAUUAGAGGAGAAAGGCAAGAUGAUCGAUUGACUCUUUAGAGUGUGUGUGCUCUGAUACGAUAUGAGAUUUGAGAAUCAAUGGGCUCGAAUGAAUAAUUUCAUUUACAAAGAUCGAUACAUAUAUAGAUGGUAACGAGAGUUAAAGAGCUAUACAUGGAAUUUACUAAGAAUAGAUUGCAAUUACAUACAAAUAGAAGAGAUUAUUGUAGAUUAGUCAUGAAGAUGUGUACGAUGUUAUAGUUAGAUUGCUUAUUUGCAAUCCAUGUUAGCUAAGUAUGUCAUGUUGAAUACAAAUUGUAUUAAAACAUUAAAGUUCCAACCAUUAUAUGUUGAAGAAGAAGCAAAUACGCCUUAGUCACACCCAUUCUAAAUGAUAUGGAUGUUAUGGUUGUCGUUUCUAUGCAACCAAAUCGUGAUUCCAAGUUGCAGUUGUCUUACCAAUAUAUCAUGUUAGGAAAAGAUGACAUAGCAUGAAAUAUUGUAUGUUACAACAAAAAGAUAUAUCUUAUAGAUGUCUUGCACAUGGGUUAUUCCUUUUUAAGCACUUAUAUAAAAAUAAUAUCACGUAUGUAUGAUAUCUAUUUUGAGAGAUUUUUAGCAAGCAACUCUUUGUCUAUUAUUGUUAUUGGAUAGAAAAAGUAUCAUCUUCGUUGGGAAGAUUUUACUAGGAUUAGAUUCAUAAUAGUUUGUCAAAGAUUUUACUAUUAUGUAUUUAUAAACCCAUGAAGUUUUCUAUUAAAUAAAUAAAUAAAUAACCAUUCACCAUUUAUAUCUUUUUGGAAUAGAGUUUGUUAAAUUCUAAUAUAAAUAAAAAGAGUAUUUAUUUAGAUUCACACAUUACAAAAUUACAAACUCCAAGCAUAAAUCCGAAACUUAUUUUUAAACUUCUUCAUUUAUAUUACAAGUUUUAUUCUUUUUUCCCAACCCACUUGGGGUUUCGAAACCCUAAAAAAGUUCUAUCCAUGGAAGUUCAUAUUUAUUUCUUAUCUUAAUGAAUUUAAGGUCUAAAUCAAUAAAUGGCAAUGUAGAAUUAACCGCAUAUAUUAAGUUAUUUUUGGAAGCUUUCCAACACAACACAGAAAGGAAAUGAUGAGAAUUUAUGGUACCAAAUAACAAAAUAAUCCCGGUUCCUAUAAAAAUUUAUUAAAGCUCUACUCAUGAUUUCAUAAUCUCCUCUAAUAUGAGGGUUACGUUAUUGUAAUAAUAACUAUGAUAAUGUAAAAGCCAUAACAUAAAUCGUCUUAAUUUAAGAAAUAAUAUAAAUCCCAAGAUAUUGUUUUUAAAAUAAAAAGGAAAAAAGUGGGAGUCCAUUAGAAGGAGCCAAGCUGAUUAUUUGAGCCAAGAGAGCACCGAUUUGUUAUCCUUCCACUGUUCGAAGCGAGAGGUUAUCGCAGCUCUGUGAAGCCAGCCUAACGCAUUGCCCUCUGCUCUAGGAACCAAGAAGCCCAAGCCUUCGCUCAAGCCACUUGAUCCAACUCCGAACUUGGAACGGGCAAACCAGAUUUUGCAACAGCUUUGACCCAACCAAACAAGGCUCGAUCUCAGUCCAUCCCACUUUAGAGCCCUCACUUGAGUCACAAGCUCGCGUUACCAAGCUCGGCGAUAAACGAAGUCCAUUUGAUGUAUAAAUAAUCGGAAAAACUUUCUCCUCCAAGCGAUGUGGGAUGCGAAACGAAAUAUUUUCAUCUUCAUUCUCUCUUUAUCUCUGUCAAAUACUGUGAUUACUGAUUACUGACUACUUAAACACCCAUGCAACGGAUUUCAAGUAUUUUUUUCAAUCCAUGGAUUUAGAACUGUAAACU